UUUUUUUUUUUUUUUGAGAGAUAGGUAGCACGCUACCCGCUUCGUUUAUUUCAUCUAGAAAUAAACUAAGCUGGAAAUGUGAAUCAACUAGGAUUCGAACUUGGGACCUCGGGUACCAACCACCAAGCCCUUUGCCACUUGCUCUAGGGACGGUCGGUUAUGAUCUCAAAUAUUGAACUUGAAAAUUUGAGGGCUGAAAUGGAACUUGCUAAAAUUUUAGGGAUUAGUGCAAUUUAUUGUAUAAUUAAUCAUAUAACAUGAAAUGCUUUUCUUUCCCCCUUUCUGCAGAAGCAUUUGGUGCUCUCAAGCUUGCCGAAGAAAAGUUCCCAUCUGUAUCAAAAUCACGCAUCCAGCUACUUAAGCUACAGUUGCUUCAUGAGCGUUCGUUACAUCGGUAUGGUUGUUGAAGCUUUUAUUUGGCUUAUUGAUUACUUCCAAAUUUGCCAUUAUACACUAAAUUGAGUCUAAUCCAGAGGACAUCUGAAAUUUGCUCAACAAGUUUGCGAUGAGUUUGGUGUUUUGGCAUCAUGUGUUAGUGGGGUAGAUAUGGAGCUGAAAACAGAGGCUAGUCUUCGCCAUGCUCGAACUCUACUAGCCUCUAACCAGUUUAGCCAGGUUCAACAUUUAUUUCCUUGUCAACUUUGUCUGGGACCCUGCUUUUUUCUAUUCACAAUUGCAAAACUGACAAGAAUGUCUUACCCUUAUCCUCAUGAGUGAUUUUAUUUACCAGUGUAAAUCUAGUUAAUUUCUUACAAGGGAAAUUUAAUUUCCAGGCAGCAGCUGUGGCUAAUUCUCUUUUCUGCACAUGCUACAAGUACAACAUGCAGGUUGAGAAUGCUACUGUUCUUCUAUUACUUGCUGAAAUACACAAGGUAAGAGAAAAUGGUCAUUGACGCUCUCUUUCUUCCUUCCAUCCGUCCUUUCUUUCUUUCUUGUAUUCUUUUUUCAUUUUUUUUAUGAGCUAAUGGGGAGUAUGAACUCCCUACCCAAAGCCUCCCUCUGCCUUGACAUUGUGGUACGAGCUGCUUGCCUAGCUGUUAAAUGUUGUUGCCAAUUUUGUUUCAUGAUGUCAUUAUUGUUAUUUUUAAAUUUUUUCCAUAGAAAUCAGGCAAUACUGUUCUUGGGCUGCCUUAUGCCUUAGCAAGUCUGUCAUUCUGCAAAUCGUUCAACUUCAAUCUACUCGAAGCUUCUGCUACCCUGACACUUGCUGAAUUAUGGUUAUCUCUUGGACCGAGCCAUGCAAGGAGAGCCUUGAGUCUUGUGCAUCGAACUCUUCCAAUGAUUCUUGGUCAUGGUGGACUAGAGCUGCGUGCUAGAGCCAAUAUUGCUGUAGCAAAGUGCCAUUUAUCAGAUCCAAUGUUUUCAAGUAUAUAUCCUCUUUUCCUUUUAGGUAGUGUCUAUGACCAUUGUACCGUAUUUCCACAUUUCGUGAUAUUCUAACCUUUUCUUCCCCCAGUUUUUAAAGAUCCCUCUAUUGUGCUGGAUCCUCUAAGUCAAGCAGCUGAAGAACUGCAAAUCUUAGAGGUGAGUGACCCUUGGCUGCUUCAAGCUUUGGAUGAGAUUCUUUCUUGUUUUUUUAGUGAGUUGUGACUGCCAUGAGACGGUAGUAGCUCAAUUGCUAAAUAGUAAAACUAAAUUUCCGUUUUCUAUGUAGUAUCACGAAAUGGCGGCAGAAGCAUUCUAUUUAAUGGCUAUGGUGUACAGUAAAAUUGGAAUGCUAGGCAAAAGAGAGGAAGCUGCAGCAUCUUUCAAGAAGCAUGUUUGUGCUCUUGAAAACCCAAGGGAUGAAGAAGACUCACUUGCGUACAUGUUUUGAGAAGACCAUGCAUUAUUUAUGUUCCAUAUAUUAUUUUAUUUGGUGCAUAUUAAUUCUGUGCUCUUAAAUGGCCUAGAAAUCAGCAAUAGCCAUUAACCCUAGAGGUAAAAUUGCUGCUGCUCCCCUUUCUGUGCUCUUAAUUUUUGGAUACAUGGAUACAUGUUACGUAUGCUAUCUUUUGCAGCUGAGCUAAUGAUUUUUGGUACUUGUGGUUGUGGAUAGGUUGCAGCAAGUGAGAUGCAAUUGGUAUGGUUCCACUGCACUUUCAUGUGUGACAGCAUUUCCUCGCUGCGCCUGUAAGUUUCAAUUUUCUUGAAGUCAUUUUCUAACUAUACUUCUAAUUAAUUAUGUUGUUUGUAUAUUAUUUUGCAAUAGUCCUGCCUUUUUUUUCCCCACUUUAGCGAAUCCUAAACCACAGAGAGAAACAUCAACAGAAAAUGUGAUGGGACAGUCUACAUACUAAUAAUUAGACAAAAACUUGAUCAUUCGAAUUAUGGAGAAGAAACAUGAAGAUCAGCAAUAAACAAUGUCCAAACUAAAUAUAGAAGAGAACAUGUGGAGAAUUACAUGAUACAACUCCCAACCUAAUUACAACCCUUCGAACGCAAACAAAUCAAAGCCCCAAUGCCAAAAGAAAAGAAAAGAAAAGAAAAGUAAAUAUAGAACUAGAACAUAUAAAACCGUAGGGAAAAUCUAUCACCAAACCUCUCAAUUUCUCUGCACCCAAGCUCCAAACCUUUAAUCUAAGCUUAAGGAGAACAUCCACAGCUUCGGCAGCUUUUAGCUUCAAUCCGACAACUUUGCAUCUGCAGACUGGGUGCACAGGGAAUUUUUUAUAACCAUGCCAUUUGACCAUCCGCCUAAGAAUAGGAUUGAUCUUGGAGGAUUUGUUAGAUUUAUAAUUAUCUCAAUUAGAAUUUGAAUUAAUUUAAACUCUAUCAGUAAGAUUGGGUACAUUCUUAGCCGAGCUUGUACGGCUGAUUAGUGAGGACGUGUGUGGUUUGUUGGCGGCCAUAGAUUUUUGGAUGUAUGUAAAGAAAUCCCCAGCUUUUGUACCGCUGAAUCAGCUGAGAUUAAAAAUUCCGCUCAAAGUCAAAAUUUUCAGUUGGAUCCUACUGCGCAAAAGAUUACUUACUGCCGACAGGUUGAUUCGCCGAGGGUGCCUUGUGGAUCAGCAUUGUAUUUUUUGUGCGGUGUUUUCAGAAAGCUGCGACCAUCUUUUCCGUGAUUGUGUUUUCGUCAAAUUCCUCUUAAUUAGUGUGGGAGGCCCUGUUGUAGGUGAACCGCACUCCGGGGAUGUUCGGUGUUUAUGGAAUGAGACAUUGAGCAUCCCUACUACCGUGUUAAGAUCUAAAUGCUUAACCCGUUUAGUGGCAAGCUGGUGGGUUGUCUGGACCGAGCGCAAUAACACUAUCUUUCGUGAGAUACCUCCCAAUGCUUCUAGGGCUCUUGAACGCGUUGUUGCAUUGACGAAAGAUUGGUUAGAUGUUCCUUGAGUCUUCUCUCGGCCGUCCUGCUCGCUCCGUCCUGCUUGCUCCUUCCUUUGUCUUUUUUUCCUUUUUUCUUAGCUCUUUGCCCGUCUACAUCGGCUUGACGGUGUGUGUAGGGGUGUUUACUACUGGUUUUUGGGUUUGGUUUUUGGUUUUAGUUUUUUCUUGUCGGUUUUUUUAGGAGGCUCUAGCUGUCUCCAACUUGUAAGCUUAGUUCAUCCUACCUAAUGAAUGAAGCAGGUAGCGUGCUACAUUUUUCUCAAAAAAAAAAAGAAUCAGCUGAGAUUUUAUUCUCAAUAGCACAUCUAAGGAAAAGGGAAUCGGGGAAUGCCAGAGACAUUCGAAAGGAAACUGAAGGUCUCUAGGAUGAUGAAGAGAAGACCAGACAGGGAAUAUUGAAAAAUCGCCUUUAGAAGUGUGAAUCCAAACAAGAUUGUCCGCCUGCUCUGGCUGUUUAAUCGUGGGACCGUCGAAGGAUUUCUGCUACUACAUCAGGUAGGUGGGUAUACUUAGGUCUCUUCGAGCUUUUGCUGAAGAGAUGGAUUUAUAAUAACAAUGCAAUUUAAUGCUUCUACUGUGAAAUAGUAACAAUAGGUAUGAAGAGAUGGAUUUAUAAUUAAAAAACAAUUUAAUGCUUCUAUUAUGAAAUAGUAACAAUACGGUAUCAACGAUUAGCAUUAGAGCCCGUUGCUGAUUCUUAACCGGAAAUCCAUUCUUAUUCAUCCUAGGGGUGGAAUGAGGGAAAGGUUGAAGAGGAAGGCAAAUGUUUCCUACCUAAGCAAAUUAUGCAAAAAGAGGUAGUACAACCCAGCAAAAAUUCUUGAGAUUUCACAAAUAAAACACCCUAAAAUAUAACAAAAAGCUAUUCACGAGAACUUAUCGGGGCAGUCGAUCUCCAACCACAUAGUUGUGUUGUUCUCUGGCUUUUAGACAUUAUUAAAUCCUUCCUUCUGAUAAUGAGCGGGAGGUGUCGAUACCAUAGCAGCUGAUGGUGGCACCGGAGUGCUGUAGACUUGCGAGCGCACUUCGGCGUACAUCUCCUCCCUUCCCUUCGCCUUACCGAGGAAGUAGCACCCGAAGCCAAGCAAGAUGGCUAAGAGAAUAAGAGGAAGAGAGAAAACAACAACAAAUCCCAUCACCUUUUGUUCUCUACGUAUGAGAAACAAUUGUUUUAGUUGAACAAGGAAAGAUCUCUAGAACCAGCUGCGAGGAGAAGUGGAGGUUUCAAAGGUAGUUUUCAUAUUAACACGCAAACAUGCAUAUAAACAGACGAAAUACAGAAGGAACCUUCGUUAGAACGGUCCAGAAGGAUGUUGUCCAGGUCGACUCUCUUAGGCCUGCAUGGCUCUGAUUGACCGUGCGGCUUUACUGAACUUGUUGCCACCUGGCAUGCUCCUCCAUGUUGACUUACCUUUUUAGUAACAGUUCAAUUUGGAUUUAAUUGCUCUAUGUGAUUAUUGGACCUAUUGCGACUAAACGGCAACAUUGAAAUUGCAACAAUUUUUAAUAUAGGGUGAUUAUUGACAUAGAGAAGUGCAUGCUUAGGUGAGUGCAGUAGGUGUUAACAGCCUAGUAGGCCCAGCCCUCUAGUACCCACUGUAACCCAUCAAUUGUAGAAAGUUGUUGGGCCGAGAUGUUGUUAAAUUAGUGUGGGCCAAGUACAGCCCAAUUUAAUUCGGAAUUCUUUUUCCCCUUUUUUUUUGAGAAAUAGGUAGCACGCUAUUCGCUUCGUUUAAUUUAUUUAGAAAUAAAUUUAGCUAAAAAUAUAAAUCAACUAGUAUUCAAUUUUGAGAUUUUUGAUAUCAACCACCAAGUUCUUUGCUACUUACGCUAGGGGCGGUCGAUUCAAUUGCAGAUUCAUAUAGGUAGAACUUACUCACCUUAAGCUCGGGCCUAGACAUAAGUGGGCCUUAGCCCGGUCUGUUGACACUCGUUCGAAACGGUGUUGGCAUGAAUUGAUUUGUCAAGCACUCCGAAACUCUUAUUAGAUGAGCCCAGUUCACCUGAAGGGUACACAAAUAAAAUAAAAUAAAAUUGAGUGCCCAAGCCCAUCCGUUGGUCACUUUUUAGAUAAGAGUUAGUCAUAAAAUAGCGGUGGCAAUCGCUGAACGAAUUUUGAAUUGUGGUUUCAUACGUUCCAGAGUUCAGCAUCUCUAUGAAGGUCUAUGACUCAAUGUGAACAUGAACACGAUUGUCAUUCAGAUUGCAACUCAAGAGUCAGGAAAUUGGAUAAAUAUUUGUGGAUAUUUAUUGGUGGUUGAGUCAAUAAGUUGACUUACUAGGUGGGAUCUGGUGAAGCCUCCUCGACCUUUUGAGUACGUAAGGUUUGGUGUGGGUCUAAACUGGUCGUGUUUUUCCCACUGACCUGAUGGGUCUAGUUUGGAUUGAGCCUUAUCAAAAUCCUUAGUUACGGGAACGCUUCUAGUUUUCGAUCAGCUGCUUAUGAUCUUUAUUAUCUUAAUUCGAACAAGUUCUGCACCCAGCAUCUAGUAAUGCUGCAGAGGGCUCCUUAAACUUAUGCUCGGUUCAAUUAACUCCGAGUCUCAGACAUUUUCAUUUGUUCGUAAACCUUUUCUUCUAUAGAAGAAUCACAUUACAAAAUGGGCUGUUAAGUAUUUUUGGUUCCAAAAGUACUUUUGGGGUUUCAGAGCGUAUCAUCAAGCAGGCACUAUAAAAGCCGGUAAAUGGAGAACUUGUAUCCCGUUAACAUAUUUGGCUUCCGAAGAGUACUAGAGGAAUAGAGUUGUUCUUGGAAGGACAAAUACAUUAGAACUUCCGUCAAAUGUUCUUAGAAGGAAUAGAGUAAUUUAUUUAAUUUUUUUUUUUGAGAGAUAGGUAGCACGCUACUCGCUUCGUUUUUUUAUUUAGAAAUAAACUUAGCUGGAAAUAUGAAUCAACUAGGAUUCGAUGGGACUUCGGAUACCAAUCAUCAAGUCUUCUGUCACUUGUCUUAGGGACGGUCGGUGAAUAGAGUAAUUUAUUAAGUUAACAAAUUAGCUAAGGAACCAGUCGCUUGGUUUGACGAAUCUUUAUGCUAGUACAAAAUUCGGUUCCGUUGAUAUUACUAAGGAAUAAGAAAAAUUAUUUCAGCAGAUUUACUUCUAUAGAUUUAUUAUUAUUAUUAUUAUUAUUAUUAUCAGUUUAUAUCUCAGUUUUUUUGUGACUUCGACUUUGUUUGGGAUUGCGGGAAGGUUGCGUUACGUGCGGUGAGAAACGACGAUGAAAAAAUAUUCUGUUUAUUUUCGUACGUAAUAUUGCGUUCCGCAUAUUGCGGUUAGUCAGUUACGAUAUAUUUUCUACGGUCCUAUAGGAGAACGCAGAAACAUAUUUCUAUAUAUAUUUUUCUCACCUCCAUUCUAUCUAAUAGCGUUAGGUUCAUCUCAAUACUAUACUAAGUCUUAGUAUAUAUUUUAUUAUUAUUGCUAUUUUACUAAACUAUAAAAUAAUUCUAAUUAAUUAUUAAUCUUAUAAGAAGUGUACACAGUAUUUUCUUUGCUUCAGCUAAUUAAGGGCAUUUAAGCAUGCCAUCGAAUGGUAAGGAUAGUUGAGCUACAGUAGUGGCGGACGUUUCUAGUCUCCCACCUCAAAGCUUCGAGUCUCUCGAAAACGAGAAGUUCUACACUGUCACGCCUGCUCCACGUCAUCAAUAAUAAAUUAAUUAUAUUUCUUUUUUUUAAAUAAAAGUAUAAUAAAAAUAUUUUUUUACAAUCAUGAUAGAACAUAUAUCUUUAAAAUGAGUUAUUUGAUUGAUUUGUGACGCCACGUCACUAAUAUAUCCGAUGUAUUCUAAAAUUUUUUCUCGAAAACCUAUUUUUCUGUGGCAAGAAAACAAAGGAGUAAAAAAGGAAAACAAGGACAAGUCAUCUGCCAGUCAAAGAAGGGGCGCGACCAUUAACGUGGAUGUUAUACCUCCGAGAUCACGAGUCCCCAGCUAACGAAAAAAACCGACCCAAACGAACACCUAACCCUACCCUAGACCCGAGCACCUACGCUGCGCCUCGGGAUGCGGUCACCCUUGGGGUCGUUCUAAGCCCUUUGACCGGACACGCGCAUCCAAACCGCUGUCGCUGCAUUUGUUUCAAAUUUUCAAUAUACAAUUUUAAAAUUAUUUUUUUUUUCCAUUUCAUUUAUUUUAUUUGAAAAUAAAUUUAGCUGGAAAUGUAAAUUAACUAUGAUUCGAACUUGGAUCUCGGGUACCAACCAUUAAGUUUUUUUGCCACUUGCGCUAGGAACGGUCGAUAAUUUUAAGGAGAUAUUUGCGCGUUGCAACGGAUCAAUUAUACAGCAAAUAAAUAUAAAAGACUGAAGAAAGAAUAAAUAAUACAAGAAUGUAAGAAGCCAAAGAAUAAAAAAAUAAAAAUAGAAAAAGCUGAAAAAGAUGAAGUAGCAGUUACCGUAAAAUAUGAAAAAAAAAUGUAAGAAGAAGAAAAAUAAGAAUAAAAGUUAUGUUGGCUUAAAUGAGUCAGCAUCCUGCCCUGUGGCGGGAGGCCAUGUGGGCCGAGUCAUGUUCGAAAUUGCGUGAGGCUAGGUUGGGCCGAGUCAUGUUUGAAGUUGCGUGAGGCCAGGUGGGCCGAGUCACAAUCGAGACCCGUGGGCGCUGUUUCUGUACGCUUUAAGUGAAUUGGUUGCGUAUUUUUAACAGCUCGAGCUUUUGGGAUUAAUGGUUAGCGCCAACGAUCCGACAAGUUAGGGGUGAAAAUGGUUAGGAUAAAUUUCGAUACCGGAUUCGAUAGAAUGUGAAUAUAAUUAUCAAAAUUUAGCAUUCGUUAUAUAUUCGAAUCUGAAUUCGUAUUUGAAAAAAAUUUAAAAAUAUAUAGAGGUGAAUAUGAUUUUUUCCUAAAUCUGAUUAUAUUUGACUGUUGUCAUUUCUAAGAGAUAAGAAGGAUAUUAAUAUAUAUUAUAGGAAGGAUAAAGUUAUUUUCUAUUGUGCUUUUCAUUUAUUUAAAUAUGAAUUUCAUAUUAAAAUUAUAUUUAUAAUUAUUAAAAUAUUAAAUUUUAUUGAAUAAAAUAUAGGUAUAUGAGGUUUAAACACAAAUAAGAACUUUUAAUUGCAUUGUGUCUUUUAUUUGCAUUAUUUUUAGUUUAUAUUUAUAUAUACAUUAUUAGUAUAUUUUACUAUCUGAAUAUAAAGUCUGCUUAGAUUUAAAUCUAAAUCCAUUUUAAGAGGAUGUAGUCUCAAAAGUUUAGCAUUGGACAUAUAUUCACAACGUAAAAAAAAUGGAUGCGGAUAAGGUUUUAUCAAAAAUCCAACUUUAUUGGACCAUUUCGCUCUAAUAAAAAGCAAAUACUAUAAAAUUAAUAAAUUAUAUUGGUAGAGCAAUAAAAGUAUAAUAAAAAAAAAACCAGUAGGAGCAACAGAACUAACAUAGUUAGUAAAUGAAAAAAGAAAUAUUCUAUGAAUCAAUUAUAAAAGUAAAUUUAUACACCACAUUUCUCAAAUCUUAUUAUAAAAUUUUAAAUUAUGUAAAUUUUAUAUAUAGUUUUUUUAUAUGAUUUGAAUUGUAUAUAUUAAAUAUAAAUUUUGAUCUUAUAAUAUUAAUAUUUUAAAAUAAAUCAUAUAGAAAAAAUAAAAAAAAGAAAAAUUGAUGGAGAAAAAAAGGGGGAGAAGUGUGUUGCAAAAAAAAAAAUGUCAGCAUGAGAUGGAAAAAAAAAAAAAAACAUAAAAAAAUAUUAAAAAUCUCAGCCCAGCCCCUAACUCCUUGUGAAGCAUUGAAGAUUGAACCAUUGAAGAUUAUUAUUAUUAUUAUUAUCAUCUUCAAUUUCAAGUUUAUGUUAAAAAUGAAUGAAAUUCCGUAUGUAGACAAGCCAAUUGAAUCGAAGACAGUUAAAAUUUUUUAAGUAAAUUGUAAAAUUAUAUCAAAUAAGAUACUUAGGCUUGGUUUGGUAUUGAGGUCUAUCUGAUGCUGUUAGAUAAAAUAGAGUUAGAAAAAAAAAAUAGGGAUAAGUGUUUUCCGGUGGAAUUGCAGAAAAUAUAUAAUAACGGAGUUAUCGUAAUAUGCGGAACGCAAUAUUACGUACGAAAAUAAAUAAAAUAUUUUCCUCUCGUACUUUUUUACCGCACAUAAGGUAAUUUUUCCGCAAUCCCAACCGAAGCUUUAGUUAUCCAAAUAAGGUCUAAAGCUGUUAGUUAUAUUGCUUGUACUAAGAUUAUUUUUUAGUUAUUUUAUAGUAAAUUGAUUUUCUCAGUAAUUUGAAAUUAGAGUCAGGUUAAAGCUCCCUCUAUUUCAAGUGGUUCAUUUAAAAUAACUUUUAAUUCUUAAAACCUGAUAAUCGAGAAUAGCUGAUUGAAUCUAAAUAUCAAAAUUAGUAGAAUAUAACAUCAUUAGUAAUUUUAUAUUCAAUAUGAUAUAUCAAUGUUAUACAAUACUAUCUAAAAGAUAAAUGUAGUAAAAAAAAAAAAAAAAAGCCUGAAAAGUCUUUAACAUAAAUUACCCAAUACCAACAAAGAGUGUACAAGCACAAAUGCCCCAAAAUUGAUACUAGAUGAUGCCGUUACACACAAAUAAAAUUAUCUCAUCAAAUGUUCUUUUGGCUAGUGUUUGGUUAGAGGUUAAGGGGUGGAAUAAUCCUUUAACCUCCAAUUUAUUUCCAAACACAUCAAAAAAUGGGUGGGAUUAGCAAAUAGCCAAUUUGGGAUGGAGUUUGCUAACCCCACCCCACUUCACUAUUCUAAUCAAACAAAAUACUAUUUUACCCACUAUUCUUCUUAUCCCACCUACUCUAACUAAAUAUUAUUUUUUUUAAUCAUGAACUAACUUCAACCCCCAAUCAAACAAAAAAAAAAACUCUAAUCUCAUUUUAAUCCUAAAAUUAAUCUUAUUUUUGAAAUAACUAGUUUUUUUUAAAAUCCGAUUCAAACAGUAGCUUGGUGUACAUAUUGAUGCGCUUAGUAUCUUACUGAGAAAACCCACCAUCACGAAAUACGGAAAACCUGUACGGUUUCUUGGAUUGGUUGGGUGGUCCAAUAAAUAUAAAGUCCUUUAGGAAGCGAAUGUUGCAACAUAGCUAUCACGUGAUACCCAGAUUCCAUUCUUUUUUGCGCCCCCUACUCGGAAAAAGAAGCCGAUCGGACGGUCGAGAUCGUUUUUCUCUUUCCCCACCUGAAGAGUCGCUCCCCUUCGUUCGUUUCCGGUUGUAAACGAACCGAAGAGUCAGGGGCAUGCUCGUCAUCUUAAGGUUAAUUGUGUUAUGAAAUAUAGUAAAAUAAAAUAAAAUAUUUUAUUAUGUUAAUUCAGCAGUAAAUUUUAUUAGAAAUUUUUUUUCGAGAGUAAUAAAUUAUAAUAAUCAUCAAAGAGGCUUCGAUGAGCUCUUACCAUUCCAGCGUGAUUAACUUUUACACAGCUAGCGGUAAUAUAAAAUUUAAAAAGAAAAAGAAAAAGAAAAAGAAAAGGUUAAGGCCCAAAAAAAAGAAAAGAAAAAGGGACACUACAUUCCCGAAAUUGCCCUUCCUCGGUGAGCACACUCGCGCCCGAGUGACGACCGAGUCGCUUGCGCGGGUUAAUAAAAUGUACACACACGCACACAAACACCGAGUCCGAGUCCGAGUCCGCAAACAUCAAGCCGGGUUUUUCAAACCCGGGAGUCGAAGCGGGCCGGUCGAGCGCGCACGCGCUCACCCGUCGUCCAAGUAGCGGAGGAGCUCGGCCUCGGCCUCGGCCUCCGCCGCGGCGGGUCGGUGGUCGUCGGCGGCGAGAAUGGCGUCGAGGGCGCGGCGGAAGAGCGGGGCGGGGCAGGGGAUCCGGAGCACCCCGCGCUGCUCGUACCCGUACUCCUGCGCCGACCUCCGCAGCAUCGCCACGAACACCGGCCGGCUCAGCAGCUCCGCCCGCACCACGAACCGCUCCAUCUCCUCCCCCACGUACACCGGCACGUGCCCCUCCGGCGCCCGCACGUGACCCCCCCGCCGCUCCUCCUUCCCCCCCGUUCCCACCACCACUCCCCUCCCCUGCCGCUGCUGCUGCUGCGACGACGACGAGUCCGCCACCCUCGACAGCCGUCGGAUCAUCUCCCUCAUCAAUCGAAUCCAACGGCCCAGGAAAAAAACAACAACAGCAGAACAAAAAAAAAAAAACGACCGGAGGAAAAUACCACUACGGUGGUGGUGAGUUGGGUGGAGGAGGAGCUUCUGCGGCGUGCGAUAUUUAUAGCGGAAUUUAGAGGAUUAUUACUAUUUUUUUUGAAAAAAAAAAAUAACACGGAAAAUGAGAAAAAAGAAAAAGGAGGAGACGGUACAAGUGGGAGUACAUGGCAGGUACGAAAUGUAAUAAAAAAAAAAAUCGAACACCAAAUCAGCGAUUCCGCUGCAAGUAACCGAACACCGUACAACCGUAUCCACCAAUAAAAUCUAGCCACGUACGACACUAUCGCCGCAGAGUGAGAGUAAAGGAGAUAAAGCGGCACGAUUCUUAGCGUAACGCUGCGUUGUGGCGCCAAUCGCGCCCGGCGCGACACGUGCCGUUUCCUUCGGCUGCUCGUAGCCAAGGAAAAGUCGUAGGUCGUAUACUGCAUUAGUAUAAUUGCACGGAGACCCCUCAACUAUACUUUUUCCUUCUUUAAUGGAAGCAACUGUAGUCUUUAACGUUAACACUUUCUUAGCUUAUGAUUUUUUUUUUUUAACAAAAAGUUUUUGUUAUUUUAAUAAUUUCAAUGGCUUAACAGUAAAUAAAGGUGUUAAAGUUGUGUGUGUCGGAAAGCGAAUAGUACUAUUAAACGUAAGUUGAGGUGCCUUUUUCGAGGCGCCCUGUAGUACGCUUUUACCUUCGUCAAUUAAAACAAACGGGUCCACCGGACCAUGUGACUCGGGCCUAUUUCGGGUCGGACAAACGGGCCCAUCCGGGCCACCGUGAAUGAGAUUGCCAUCACAUGAAGGGACCAAUUCCGACUAACCACACCCAUACAUAUCUCGGUCGUGGUCCACGUGGGCCUCAAAAUACACCCAAAUGUGACGCAUGUGAACGUGACUAGAUGCUGUUCUUUGUACUGGUGUUCUGCUGUGAGCUUAUCGCAAGCCUAUUCAAUGUUCUUAAUUUGCCGUUGUUGGGUUCCACCCACCUACUUGCGUAGUAUAUUGCCAUGAGUUUUUUGACUUUUGAGUUCUAGAAUACAAUUUAUUAAUUAAUAGAGGGUGGAUUAGAUACUGAGAAAGAAUUAAGGAGAAUUAGCCGUCCGAAUUAAGAACAGGUGAUCUGCUGUGGUAUCCUGCUCGCAUUGCAGUUCACUAGUAGCUCUAAUUAACCACUGCUUAUGUUAUUUAAAUCAGAUUCUAGAACUAAUCUUGUUGCAGUUGUGUAUAUCUAUGUAGGACCUGGAGUGGCUGUAUCUAGUAAUUAAGUAGGAAUUAUGCUAGCCAAAAAGACACUGUUCAUCAUGGAUCUUAUAGGGCCCUGCUGCUUCGCCAAUAAAUGCAGUAAUGCACUUGGCAAUGGGUGAAAGGACAUCGAAGUUCCUUAGAUAUGUUUCUAUUAGAAAUGGAUCUCCUAGUACCAUCACCCUCCUUAAAACAACGUAUCAAUAAUGAGAUUUAGCACAAUUAUCAGGUUAAUUACACCACACGUACUAAAAAACACGUACGGAUACAUAUUGUUGGCGUCAUAAAAGUUGCGCGAUGUGGUGAAUCAGGAUGCAUUAUGAGAAUAACUCCUGAAUGUAGGAAUAACUAACAUAUGGUGCGCUAGGAGCGGAGAAAAGUGUACCUAAAAUCGAAAAGCAGUUGAAUCUUAUACGGUUAGGAUCGGCAGAUUGUGACCCACAAAAUCAGAGAUGUGGCCAAUCAUGAGUAAUAACCGAAUAACAACAGACAAAAUUAUAAAAUAGAUAAGAAACGCCUGACAUAGGGAUCUUUUUUCCAUGCGAACGUGAAAAUCAUUUAUUUUUUUCUUUACAUUUUUCGCUUUUUAGGAGUAGUUUAUUUGUUAUCUCUUUUUUUUUGUUAUAUUUAGUGUUUUUUCUAUGAAUAGUUUUUAGGUUAGUAUUUCCUCUGAGAUCAUUCGCCAUAACAGCGCAUCCUUUUCUAUAAAUAUUUUCUAGUUUUAAGCACUAUAUAAGCAUUUCGGUGCUACAGUCGAACCUAAAAAUAUUGUGCAGUUUCUGGACUCGACUGAGCCAGCUGAACUGAAAAUACUGUAUAAUCUUUGAACUCGGCCGAUCCGAUCCAUCAUCCGAAUCGUUUGAUUCAAUUGCGAGCGCUAAUUUUGAGGAUCAUCAUCAGUUGCCGCUCUACCUUCCUUGCGUUCUUUCCGAAGGAGGACUUUUGACCAAGACAGUGGCCAAGAAAAUCUACUUGCAGCACAUACUUUCCAGUAAUACUACAAUUUUUUCAUCAUAUCAUUCUUAUCUAUUAUAGAUGCUGGCACUAUAAUUUGAUUGAUUCAUGCACGUGCUGUUAUCCGGCACUCUAGAAAAACGACAUAAUGUUGUACAUAAAAAAGUAUUUAUGUUUACAUUUAGUCUAUAAGGCGAAAGUCGGAUUAAUUCAAAUUAUAAUCGAGUACCACGAGUGCUUUGUCUAUACGUUUUAAUUUUAUUUGGUUGGUAUUAAUGAUCCAACAAAUAAUAUUGAAGUCAAAUUACGAAUUCGAUUCUCAAAUUUUCAUAUACUGUAAAGGUGAAGUAAAAGAUUAUUGAAGGAUUAUAGUUAAUACGAACGAUCAACAAUAUAUAUAGAGAGAGAGAGAGUCUGGCUACUAUACUAUCGAUAGUAGCAAGCUCUUGAUACUAACGAGUUUUCUGCUAUUAGAUCUACCCUUUGAUACCGACCGUCCCUAGAGCAAGUGGCAAAGGGCUUGGUGGUUGGUACCCGAGACCGAAGUUCGAAUCCUAGUUGAUUCACACAUUUCUAGCUAAGUUUAUUUCUAAAUGAAAAAAACGAAGCGGGUAGCAUGCUACCUAUCUCUCAAAAAAAAAAAGAUCUAUCCUUUGAUUAUUUUUACCCAUUAGAUUAUACUAUUGAACUAACCAUCUAUUCAACCUUAGGGGACCUCUAUUAUCCUAACCGCACAUCCUUUCAUACAAUGGUCGAAAACUCGAUAGCACCAGGCACUUGGUACUAUCAAUAGCACUAAGUCAUUGGUGCUAUUAGGUUUUUGGCCCUUGAAUGAAGAAAUGUGCAGUUAGUAUAAUAGUGAUCCUCUAGAGUUGAGUGGGUAGUUGGUUGAUUAGUAUAAUCUAACGAGUGAAAAUAAUUAAAAUGGUAGAUCUAACGACGAAAAAUAUCAAGCGCUUGAUACUAUCGAUUGGUCAUCGGAGGCCUCCGUGCUAUCGAUAGUAUACCAGUCUAGCUCUCUCUCUCUCUCUCUCUCUAUAUAUAUAUAUAUAUAUAUAGAAUUGAGUUAGAAUACUUUUAAAAGCACUAACCCCUUGGUGCUUCUAAGUUUCUAGCCCUUGGAUCUACUCCUUAAUUACUAAUACUUCUUAGAUCAAAUAUUAUUUCAUCUACCACCACCUAUCAUCACCUACCACCAUCAUCAUCUCAACCCUACACCUCUCUAUCCAAUGGUUAAAAAUUCAAAAGCACCACCUCCUUGGUGCUUUUGAGAGUAUUAAUUCUAGCUCAACUCUCUCUCUCUCUCUCUCUCUCUAUAUAUAUAUAUAUAUAUAUAUAUAUAAGAUACACCAAAUUUUCCGGUACUCUUUGGCUUCCGUAGAGCAAAUGGGUACGGUGUGUGGAUUGCAUGGAUGGGCCCCGUGGUUUGCUUUGCGUUUCGCGCCGUAUUUCCGACAAAAGGCGCAAAGCGGGAAAACACGUAAAGAGUGCGGUUAGUGUGUUUUUUUGACCCCCCAGUGCGGAAAUCCUUCCCGUCACUUUCGGCAUCGCAUGUGGUCUGGAAGGUCCCACGUCCCCCUCAAAUGACCAAAAUGCCCAUAACUAAUGCCAGCACUUUUCCUUCCUACUUUACAAUAUAUAUUAUCAUCAUUAUGUCUAAAUUACUAAAAAAUAAAAAUAAAAAGUAAAACGUAGCAUACCUAUAGAUCAUUGUAAAUCAGCUAUUUUAAAAUUUUAAGUUUUUUAUUUUCAAAUCUUUCAAUUUGUUUAAUUUGAGUCAGUCAACGAUAUUUUAAUUUUAAAAUUUAAGCUAAUUGAUUAUUUUAAUAAAUUUAUAGUUCCGAGAAUUUUAUAAAAUAUACUAAUCAAAUCUGUAAAGAAAAAAUAGCGCAUUUAAAUUUUGAAAUCAGAAUGUUGUUGAUCGACUCAAAUCAAGUAAAUUGAGGGAUUUGAUAUAUAGUAAAAUCAAAAUUUUUAAAGAUUGAAUAGCUUACUCAAAACGGUUUAUAAUUUAGACAAAUUCGAUACAUUUUUUUCAAAAAAAGGUAAUUCUUGUAUUUUUGUUUUCCAAGUACCUCCUUGUAUCAUAAACUACUGCAAUUUUAAUAUAAAAAUAUGAUGUGCUCAGAUGGAUCGCAUCUUUGAUAAUUUGCAGUACUGGUCAUAAAUGUCUGUCGUAUUAGGAGAUACCAAAUUACUUCAUCGACCAAUUACAAGUUCGAUUAGUGCAAAAACUUAUCUACAAAUAUUUUUUAAAAAACUAUUUUUUAUGUUAAUCAUCUUAAAAGGAACUUUUAUAGCGUUAUGUAUAAAAUAGUACCGUUCUUUAGUUAGACACUUUUGGUUGUGACAUUUUUUUUUAAUUGGCACUUUAGUUGUGUACUAUGAUCAUUAACUUUGUAGGACAAUAAUCUGUCAAAAAAAAAAAAAACUUUAUAGGACAAUAACACAAGCAUAAAAAUAACGGUAGGGGUAUUUCUGUAAUUUCAUCACAGAGGUAUGGGCACUCUGGUCAAUGGCGAGGAUAACGCUAUCACGAAAGAAUCCCAACCGUCCUCUUAUCCCUCGGGGAAUUAAACGGCCCAUCAUGAUUAUACUACCAUCGUGAUUACACUAGUACCCUAAUAUACAUUGAAAUAAAUUAUUUAAAAAUAUAUAUUUUUUGCUAUAAAUAUUUUCUAUUAUAAUUUCAAGUUAAGAAUUUAAAUUUUUUUUCCUCAUUGUAGCAUAUCCGGAUGUCUCUUUUUGCGCUUGAAAUUAUGCUUUUUACCUAUCAAAUAGUAUAUAUUAAAACAUCGACAACGCACUUGUGCAUCGAAAUCGAUACACAAUUUAUUGAAAAAAACCUUUCCAUACUCUUCCUUAAUCUUUCUCUCUUUAUAUUUUAGUAUUCUAUAGUUGCAAUAGUUAAGCAUCUUAUGAUCUUUAUUUUUAUUUUCUAUUAGCAUUGUUGUUACCUCCAUUAACGCCCUCAUGUGUCCCAUGCGUACUAUGGACAUAUUGAACAAAUAGCACGUUGCCCGUUUUAUUUGUUUUAUUUAAAAAUAAAUUUAGCUGGAAUAUGAAUCAAUUAGAAUUCGAAUUUGAAAUCUCGAAUAUUAAUUGCAAAUCGCCCGUUUUAUUUGUUUUAUUUAAAAAUAAAUUUAGCUGGAAUAUGAAUCAAUUAGAAUUCGAAUUUGAAAUCUCGAAUAUUAAUUGCUAAUCUUUUUAUGUCACGCAAGUACUUUGUAUAUUUUUCGGUUGGCAUAAAUUAAGGCUACUCUGGUUUGAGCUUACCAUUGUGGGGAAAAGGGGUAUUGCCGUAAUUUCACUUUCUCCGGGCGUUGUGGUUCCCACGUAAACGGAUGUAUCCGUACAGGGACGUGGAACUCCACCGGGACAAUGCGCAUGAUCUCGGCGCACGAUAGAUGCGUGACAUAAAACAAGUACCCUCCUUGUCCCCUUGUGCGCCUUUCGCGGCGCACGAUAAGCUGACUAAUUCUAAAAGUGCGCUUUAUUUCUUUUUUACAGUUGUGUGUAUUUACAUUCCAUUUACAGUUAACAAAAAAGAUUUAAUUUGAAGUGCUACAAUAAUACGACUUGUUUAAUGUUUAACAUAAAAUCAUAAGUUCAUAACCAUCAUACCAUCGUACAUACUAUUCACAACUAAGGCCCUAUUUGAUCGAGUAUACUAGUAUACUAGUAUAGAGACCCGCGCGAUGCAGCGGGCAGAUAAUAGAAACAAAAUUUUAAUAAAAUUUAUAUUCACAACUUAUUGAUGUAUAAGAAGUUAUACCCAUGUUAAACAUAAUUAAUUUGUAUGACUAAAUUCAACUAUUAAAAAAAUAAAUUAUAGUUAGAAGUUUAUAUAUAUAUUUUAAAAUCAUCGAAAUACAGUAAGAGACAUAUAAUUUUAUCGUAUUAUGUGCACCUUAAACAUUCCGUUGUGAAAAAUAAAAAAGAGCUAGCUCCAGCACAGCUAAAUCAACCUAGUGGGCACUUAUAUGAGCCGCGGCUCGAUUUUGCGGAACGAUGCUUCUCGAAAGAGACAACGUUCUUCGCAUGCUCUUCUUCUUCUUCUUCAUCGUUCUCAUCAUCUUCGUUAACACAAUAAGAGAGAGAGCUAGAUGAGUAUUGGGUGGAAAAUUAGAUGAUGAUAUUUUUUUUGCAUGAAAAAUAAGGGGCCAUGCAAAAGAGAGGGGAGUGGGGGAUUAAUGGAGGUGGAGGUGGAUUGGUGUUGUAAAGCCCAUUUAUUUGUAGAAUAUAGUGCCUAUAAUUAAAUGUUGCAUUUUCGAUUAAUUAAUUUUCAUGAUUUCAAAGGAUUGGGAGGUGAAGGGUUUGGCGUUGAAAAGAGAUUUGAAGGAGAAGAAAUGACUAAUAUUGAAGAGAAAAAUGAGUAACAUAUAAAUUAAAGAGCACAUUAAUUAUUUGUCAUUGAAUAGAGAGGAGGGGAGGGAAAAAGCCAAGAACAAAUGUGAGUUCAAAAAAAUGAUUAGUAAGAUUGAAAGAAAACUUACCAUGUGGCAAAAAAUAUUGGGAAUUCAUUUAGGUUAAUAGAUACACGUAUCGUUGCUGCUAAGCCAAACAGAUUCUAAAUACGACGAAUUGGGAUAGAGAAUAGUGAUCGUCGUCGUCCCGUGCUCGCCCCAUUACCUUCGAUAUUCCAUGUGCAAGCGUCGUCAUCUUCCCCGAGGUAUAUAUACAUUCCACAACCAUUGUAUAAGCUAUGAAACACUUCUUCGUGGUGGGGACUCUGCGAUAACGCAGUUGUUGUAUUCUUGUGGCCGUACGUUCCGGAUCAUCACGGGCGUACGUUUUGGUUCCUUUUGUUUUGUUUUGGUUUUUUUUUAAUUGAUUGGCUUUUUGGGCGUGAACAUAAAAUAAAUUUAAUUUGGACGCCACAUAAGAAGCCUUAGGAUUUUUUAUUUGUGGAGGAGAAAAGUUGAUGAGCUGUGGCAUGCCAGUGUGGUGUUGAUAUUAAUUGGCAGGAAAAGUUAGGAGGUAUGUGUGUAUGUCAGGUUAGUUAGCUGUACUCAUCAUGUGUUGUCAGGUAUUCUGUGUUUAUAAAAAAACAUUAAAUUAUAUAAGUUCUCAUAACUAUUAUCUUUAUAAAUUAUAUAUUAAUAUACUCGUACGCAUAAUUGAGAGGUAUCUGAUUGAUCCAUACAUAUAACCUAAAAAUAUUACAUAUUUAUCAACAUAUCAACUACCUAUAGAGUCAAUAAAAUAAUUUAUUCCAUGGGCUUUUAAAGCAUGUUCUCCUAGGAGAAUAUGUUUUCGUAAAAAUUAUAUAGUUGCCAACAUUCCAUUGAUUUUUUCAUGCACACAAUGCAAAAAUAGUACUACGUGUGUGUGUGUGUAAUAUUUAUUUUUUCAUAAACAAGUGAGGAUUGUCAAGACCUUUUUAGAGUGUAAUGACAAUAGAAUAUCACUGUAACGCACAAAUAAUAAUUGAAUAAUUUGUUCGACAUCUAAAAAUAUACCAUAAAAUAUUUAUACAAGUUAUGGACUAUAGUAGGAAGCUCCACCACACACCAUGUGAAGAAGCUAAUUUUUUCUUAUCUACUUCCAUGUAAGGCUUUUAGUAAGCCGAACAUGAGCUGUCUCAUAAACAGCAAGUUAGAUUGUUAGCCUUUGGGUGAAAAGUUGAGAAAAAAUAAAAAAAAAUUAGAAUUUUAAUCUAGUAAUUAGAAAUUACAAGAUAUAUGUUUCUUUACAUUUGUGUUGACCUAAAAUGUAAGUAGAAAAAUCAUAUAUAGAGAGAAAGAGAGAGAGAGAGUCCGGUUACUUACUGUGCUAUCAAUAGCAUAGAGCACUUGGUGCUACCAAAUUUUCUGUCGUUAAAUCUAUCCCUUUGACCAUUUCCACCCAUAAGCUCAUACAUACUAUUCAAUCAAUCACCCACUCAACUCUAUGUAUCACUAUCAUCUUAACCGUAAAUCUUUUUAUACAAGGGCAAAAAAUUUAAUAGCAUCAAUGACUUGGUACGAUUAGUAAUAUACUAGUCUAGUUCUUUCUCUCCCUCUCUUUAUAUAUAUAUAUAUAUAUAUUCGAACAAUAUUUAGCUAAACACGAGUGGCUGACCCUAGAUUAUGUUCAGCUCUUUUAUCAAACAAGCAAUAGAUCUCGAGUUCAUUUCCAAUUGAAAACGAGCUGGCUCGUGAGCAUCGAACUGGGUUGCCAGCCCUACUCCUAUGACUGAGUACGAUAUUAUUCAUUCAUGUUCGAAAAACAAUAUGCCUUUUUGAAGCCCAUAAAAAACUGGGCCUUUAAUGGGCCGGGCCUACAAUCACAUAAAAAAAAAAUUAAGUCAUUCUUGUUAGUGGUUUGUCGUGUUCUCUCAUGUGGGCCUGGACUCGUUCAAUAUGGACUAUAAAUUAAACACUUCCAUAAUGAGUUUGAUAAUUUUAUUUUUCCGGUAUGCUUUCGUCCCAACCCGUUUUGACCCAACAAACUUAAGCGAGUCUCGAUAUCAAAUGCAACUUUUUCUAAAUUCAAUUUUCUUUUAUUUUCACUUUGGCGAAUCACGAAGUUAAUUAACUCUCUCUACACUAGUUAAUUUCCCAAAAUCCUCCCAAUUAUGGGUUAAACACGCAUCGUCACGCAUCGCCAUCCCCCACGAGGUUAACUAGAACGCAGAUCAAUUAGAUGGUUUAAAAUGGACCAGACUCAUAAGUUCUUAUUUGCGACAAGCCGAUAAAGAAAUGAAAUAAAGGACAAGUUCGAUUAGACAAAUCGAGCCCAAUUUCGGGGAAACAUGAAGCACCUGUUGAAUUAUACCUCAAUAGUGUUCAAAGUUGAUUAAUAUCAUUAUUUGACUUAAAUUUGAAACUUUGUCAUGAUAUAUUAAUUUUAUUGGAUAUUCGAAUCUCAGUGACAAAGCUUGCAAAAAGUGGAAUGGCAUUUUAAUUUUGAUAGUGGAAUUGAGAUUCUCCUCUUGUUUUGUUUUUAUUUAUUAUUAUCUCCAUAAUCCAUAGUCACAGUCCAUUAAAAUCGAUAUUAAAUUAAGAAACCUACCUCUUGCAUAAGGUCUUAAUUUACGAGUAAGAUAUUAGCACGAGGUAGAAAAACAUAAUAAUUGUAAUCUUUUACCAAUUUUUUAAGUUUAAUUAUUGUUAAAAUAGGUUUAAUUUUAUUUCUAAAUUCUGACUUACCGUUCUGCGAUCCAGAUCAGAGAUAUUUAAUUUAUAUUUAAUUUAAAAAGUUUAGAGAAUAAAUAAAAAAAUUUCCGUCCACUUUUACACUUCUUAUACAACUUGUGCGGUGAAGGCUCAGAAGCAUCCUGAUCGUCCAUAUUUUACAACGACUCGCACGUGUGAGAUUGAACAAUGUAGAGAUGCUCAUGACUCAUGAGAUAUUCCUUCCUCUAUCACUCUCCGCAUUGACACGUGUGCGUAAGGGAUCAGAUGCCCCCAAAAAACGUGAACCAGUGAUCUCGCACGUGCUCGUAACAUUCCCACGAUCGAAGCCACGUUUCCUUCCACGAAAGACCCUCUCAUUUACCUGUUUUGCAAUAUAAAUUCCAUGAAUACAGUCCACCACAUCACUCGUGCACUGUAAAUUUUUGUUAUUGUUUUAAUUUUUAAAUUAAAAGGGAUUAAAGAUUGAAAAUGCACAGUGAGCAAUUCAUGCCAUAACUUAGAUACUUUGACAUCGGUGUAUGCUUUUAAAUUUUGUAUAUGCGUAGAUGUGCAGCUGAAAAUUAAAUAUCUAUUUAUUAUAAUUUUAUAUACAAAAUAUUAUACUCACAAAAUAAUCUUACUGCUCAUCAGCGAUAAAAUACAUUCGAUUAAAUUUGCAUUGCCUACGAAAAUAAAUAGAAAAAUCACAUCCUCAUGACUUAUACGGUAGAUUUGGAAUUUAUUUAAUACAUCAAACUUUAUUCUCUCUACGUGGCUCGAUUCCAAACACAUUAGCCAAGUCCACAUCCUUUAUUUAUUUAAUAAUUAAAUAAAUAGGCGCCUCCCCUCGUGUUUUGACCGUAGUUUCAACGAUCAAGCCCUGAAGCUUCCAAAAGUUUCUAAACCUCCCCACCAAUCCAUGGCUAUAAAAACCCUAUCCCCUCAUGCAGAAAUAAACCAGUAAGAAACUAACCACAUCCACAUCUCAUCGAUCUCCCUCACUCCUCACUCAUAAAAUUUAGAUCCAAAAANAAAAAAAAAAAAAAAAAAACAAUGUGGUGGAGGAAGAAGGAGAUGGAGCCGCUACCGACGCACUACGACCGUCUCACGGAGUGCGCCGGAGAGUGCGAGGACGUGGCGCAGCGGAUACCGAAAGGGUACGUCCCGAUGCUGGUCGAGGACGAGGCGCGCGGGGAGGUGGAGAGAGUUUUGGUGCAUGUUAAGCUCCUCAAUGAGCCGUUCAUGGUGGAGCUCCUCGAGUGGUCGGCGCAGCGGUUCGGGUACCAGCAAGAUGGCGUGCUCAGAGUGCCCUGCGACGCUCGCAAUUUCCGGCGCAUGGUCGCGUUAUCUCGGCGAAAGCUAGAUAGAUAAUCUCAUACAAAUUGUUUGAGUUAAUUCACUUGUGUGCUUCUAAAUUUGUCUAUAUUUAUUCAUUCAUUUUUUUCGUGCUAGUUCAUUUUAUUUUGUUUUCUAGUCCCUUUGUGGGAAAUACAUUUGAGAAGGCAAUAGAUUUGUGUAAGUUGUUACAUAAUUGUAUGUGCGUUAAUAUGUAUCUUCUGAGAUAGCAAGAAGGCCAAAAAUUUUUGGCCAAUUUGUAUAAAAAUUAACAAAUUUUGAGCUUUUGUAAGAUUAUGUCCUUUUUUUUUAAUUUACAGAUUCAAUCCGAAUUUUUAGCAAACUGACCAAAAUACCCUUAUUACUUUUUCAUUCAUUCUUUUUUUUUUUUCCUUUCUCUGAAGAAGGCAUUAGAGGCUGAGGCGGAGGCGAAGGCGGAAACGGUCUGCGCCGCCUCUCACUCUCAUGCCCUCGCCCUUGCCCACACACCCCCAACCUUCCUUGCCUCCGACCCUAUCGAAAUGCGCCGUGACUUUUUUUUUUUUUCUCUCCGACCCUCAUCCACCGUUUUUGACGGCGACGCCUCUCUUGUCCUUCCACACCCUUUUCACCCUCUCUCUCCUUCCUCCUCCGCUGCCCACGCCGUGAAGGUCAUUGCGGCGCCGCAGCCUCAGAGCGGGGGUUCCUUAAUGGCGUCGUCACCGGCGCCGUAGCCGUUAGCGGAAAGACGUGACCAAAAAAAAUUAUAAAAAAUGAAAGAAAAAAAGAAAAAAAAAAGAAAAUUAUAGAAAAAAAAAAGAUGAAAAUAAAAUUGUAUAGUUAAAGUUAAUAUUUUAAUCUAAUAAAUUUUAUUUGUAGAAAUCAACCAUUUAUAUGGAAGAAAAUUGAGCAAUUAAUAUAUUUAUAAAAAGCCAGUUAUAAAAUAGAGGAUCUUUCUUGUCCUUCUUUUCUUUAGAACUCUGAUAUUUUAGGCUUUUUAACUCAAUUUUUAUGGCGCUCCUUACUUAUAUUUAUUUUUAUUUAUCAUAAUCGCUUCUGCAAAAAUUGACCUGAAAAAAUAAAUAUCAAUGAUAAAUUAGAAAACAGUUAUUUAAAAAUUAAUAAAAAUACUUCAUAAUUGAACUCAUAAGAUAAAAGUUAAGAUAAAUACUUAAAAUAAGGUAUUAAUUAAACUUUUUAGUAUUUUACCAAAAUUUAAACUUCUUAUGCAAACUCAACAUCAAAAAAAAUAUUUUUUUCUAUUUAUGAUAGUAUGAUUGCAUGUUGGAACACAAUAAAUUAUAGCAUUAUUAAAAAAUAUUAGAACUCCUCACUAAAUGUGUCACUUGGCAGUACCUAAUAACUUUACUUCCAAAAUUUUAUAUAUAUAUUAUAUUUAGAGUAGAGCUACUAAACUAUCAGAAGUAUAGAGGAUCCGAUGCUUCCGAUUUUUCGGCCCUUAGAUCAACCCUUUUAAUCAUUUCUAAUUUUUGAAUUAAUACUAUUAACUUGUGGGGACCACUCAACCCUAAGGGUACUAUUCAACCCUGAUUUUUUUACAGCGAUUGACUGGUGUAUAUUUUAAAUUUUGUGUAUAUGUAGGCAUACAAUUCUUUAAUUGAGCAUCUAUAUAUUAUAAUAUUUUUUUUAGAGAGAAAGUUAGCAUGCAACCCGUUUCGUUAUAUUUUUUAAAAAUAAAUUUAGUUGAAAAUAUGAAUAAAUUAAAAUUUGAACUCAGGACUUUGUUUAUUAUAAUGUUAUACACAAAAAUUUAUACUCAUAAGAUAAUUUUACUAUUCACCUGCGACGAAAUAUAAUCAAAUUAUUUGCAUUGCCCACAGAAAUAUAGGAAAAUAAAUCACAUCAUCACGGCUUAAUGGUAGUUUUAGAAUUUAAUACAUCAAACUUUGUUGUCUCUACGUGGCUCGAUUCCUAACACAUUAGCCAAGUCCACAUCCUUUAUUUAUUUAAUAAUUAAAUAAAUAGGCUCCUCCCUUCCUCUUUUGACUGUAGUUUCAACGAUCAAUCCCUGAAGCUUCCAAAGGUUGACCCAAACUGUUCUAAACCUCCCCACCAAUCCAUGGCUAUAAAAACCCUAUCCCCUCAUGCAGAAAUAAACCAGUAAGAAACUAACCACAUCCACAUCUCAUCGAUCUCCCACACUCCUCACUCAUAAAAUUUAGAUCCAAAAACAAAAAAAAAAAGAAAGAAAAAACAAUGUGGUGGAGGAAGAAGGAGACCGAGCAGCUACCGACGCACUACGACCGUCUCACGGAGUGUGACGGAGAGUGCGAGGAUGUGGCGGAGCGGAUACCGAAAGGGUACGUCCCGAUGCUGGUCGAGGACGAGGCGCGCGGGGAGGUGGAGAGAGUUUUGGUGCAUGUUAAACUCCUCAAUGAGCCGUUCAUGGUGGAGCUCCUCGAGUGGGCCGCGGAGCGGUUCGGGUACCGGCAAGAGGGAGUGCUCAGAGUGCCCUGCGACGCACACAAUUUCCGGCGCAUGGUCGCGUUGUCUCAUCGAAAGCUAGAUGGAUAAUCUCAUUCAAGUUGUUUGAGUUUACUAGUGUUCUUAAUUUGUCUAUAUUUAUUCGUUCAUUUUUUGCAGUAGCUCAUUUUAUUUCGUUUUCUAGUCCCAUUGUGGGAAAUAUUUUGAGAAAGCAAUAGAUUUGUAUUAGUUGUUACACAAAUAUGCAUUGUACACACAUGUAUCUUCUGAGAAUGCAAGAAGGUCGAGAAAUUUUUUAUGCAAGUAAUUAAUGUGUACUCUUUUUUUUCUUUUUUAACCUUAGCAUAUCUAUCUAUUUAAUUUAGAAGUCUAAACUACAGCAUCUCUUUUUUUUUUAGGGAAAGGUGGUAUACUAUCACUUCAUUCAUUAGGAUGGUGAAUUAAGCAAAUAGAUGAAGCAACACGGCUUCGUUAAAAAACAAAAAGAAAACAAAAUGCUAGAUGCAAUGUAGACCCCAAAGACUCCUAGAAGAGCGUACGUCCAUCACUAGUUGUCUCAGUGAGAUUUUUUCGUCUUCAGAAAUUUUUCUAUUUCGUUCUGUCCAGAUAGCCCACCAAACAACAAUUAUGGUCGAUAGUUCCUUUUUCCUCAUGUUACCUCACUUAGAGCCACUAGCAUUUUAGAGCGUGUCGGUUGAAGCACAGGUACUAAGGUGUCUGCCGCGAACGAACCGGCCCCGCCGUAGAUUGUUUCUAAAGCGUAUUAGGCAGGAAGCACUCCAACAAAGCUCGUGAGAAACUACAUGUAACAAAGAGAUGGUCAACCGUCUAUGGUUCUUCCGAAUAGAGCACACAGCUUAACUCUCAAGACCAUCCCCUUAUGGACAUGCAGAUUAUCUCUCGUUAGUAACCUAUGUUUUAGCACUAGUCACCCGUAGAUUUUAUUUUUCAAAAGAGUUUUGAUCUUUCACAACUGAAAGAACCCCUUUCGUGGACGCUGCCAUCUUGUAAGAAAGUAUAAACAGAUUUAAUCGUGAAAAUUUCUAUUGAAGUCCAUAGAAAAAAAAUAUAUGCUUUUAGGGAGGAUGAAAUAUAUAUAUAUAUAUAUAUAUAUCUACUAUGCUAUCGGAAGUAUAGAGGAUCUGGUGCUUCCGAUUUUUUAGUACUUAGAUCAACCUCUUUGAUCAUUUCUAACCUUUGGAUUAAUACUAUUAUCCUGUGGCACCCACUCAACCCUAGGGGUACCACUCAACCCUGGGGGACAGCAAUCAUCCUAACCGUAUAAUUGUUGAUCCAAUGGUCAAAAAGUUGGAAGUAUCAAAUUCUCUAUACUUCCGAUAGUAUAAUAGCUAUAUAUAUAUAUAUAUAUAUAUAUAUAUAUAGCUAUUAUACUAUCGGAAGUAUAGAGAAUUUGAUACUUCCAACUUUUUGACCAUUGGAUCAACAAUUAUACGGUUAGGAUGAUUGCUGUCCCCCAGGGUUGAGUGGUACCCCUAGGGUUGAGUGGGUGCCACAGGAUAAUAGUAUUAAUCCAAAGGUUAGAAAUGAUCAAAGAGGUUGAUCUAAGUACUAAAAAAUCGGAAGCACCAGAUCCUCUAUACUUCCGAUAGCAUAGUAGAUAUAUAUAUAUAUAUAUAUAUAUUUCAUCCUCCCUAAAAGCAUAUAUUUUUUUUCUAUGGACUUCAAUAGAAAUUUUCACGAUUAAAUCUGUUUAUACUUUCUUACAAGAUGGCAGCGUCCACGAAAGGGGUUCUUUCAGUUGUGAAAGAUCAAAACUCUUUUGAAAAAUAAAAUCUACGGGUGACUAGUGCUAAAACAUAGGUUACUAACGAGAGAUAAUCUGCAUGUCCAUAAGGGGAUGGUCUUGAGAGUUAAGCUGUGUGCUCUAUUCGGAAGAACCAUAGACGGUUGACCAUCUCUUUGUUACAUGUAGUUUCUCACGAGCUUUGUUGGAGUGCUUCCUGCCUAAUACGCUUUAGAAACAAUCUACGGCGGGGCCGGUUCGUUCGCGGCAGACACCUUAGUACCUGUGCUUCAACCGACACGCUCUAAAAUGCUAGUGGCUCUAAGUGAGGUAACAUGAGGAAAAAGGAACUAUCGACCAUAAUUGUUGUUUGGUGGGCUAUCUGGACAGAACGAAAUAGAAAAAUUUCUGAAGACGAAAAAAUCUCACUGAGACAACUAGUGAUGGACGUACGCUCUUCUAGGAGUCUUUGGGGUCUACAUUGCAUCUAGCAUUUUGUUUUCUUUUUGUUUUUUAACGAAGCCGUGUUGCUUCAUCUAUUUGCUUAAUUCACCAUCCUAAUGAAUGAAGUGAUAGUAUACCACCUUUCCCUAAAAAAAAAAGAGAUGCUGUAGUUUAGACUUCUAAAUUAAAUAGAUAGAUAUGCUAAGGUUAAAAAAGAAAAAAAAGAGUACACAUUAAUUACUUGCAUAAAAAAUUUCUCGACCUUCUUGCAUUCUCAGAAGAUACAUGUGUNAUAUAUAUAUAUAUAUAUAUAUAUAUAUAUAUAUAUAUAUAUAUAUCUAUGAAAUCUGUAACAAAAUGAUGAAUAAGAUCAAGUUUUAUCCUUAGAAAACUGAUAAGGACCUCCCUAUAGUAAGAAUAAAGUGUGAAUUACACAAGCAAUUAAUUUAUAUGAACAAUUAAUAGCGAGCUUUUUAAAUUUUUCGUAGAACCUUUUUUAAAUUAAUUAUGAAGAAAAUCAAGAGGAAUUUAGCAAGUGGUUGGAUGUUAAUUAAAUGGCGCCCAAAUUAUAUGUUAAUAGAACAUACGAUCAUCUGGCCAAUUUAUGGACUAGUAUUUUUUUAGUUUGUACGUAGAGGUUGCUUAUAUAAAACAUUGCAUUAGAUUAUAUAUACAUGAACCUACGCACAGAUCCACUUUGAUUUUAAGUCACUUAUACUAACUUUUUAUCACCAUUUGUAGUUAAACUUUUUGAUGUUUAUUUGAGCACGACUUAUUAAUUCGUUCUAUUUCAAUAGUUUUUCUAUUAGAAUGAUUUUGGUUAUUUUAACACUUAACUUUAACAUUAGUUAAACAUAAAAAUGGCUACUAAUGAUUAAUUAACUCACCUAACCCAAUGGGAACCAAUCAAGCAUCACUGGCUAAUGCAAUUCCUUAGUAUCCCAUGUCAUUGCAAAAUUUACUAUUAGAGCUCUUUAAUUAAAAUUUAAAUUAAAAAAUGUAUCACUACCAAAUAAAGUAAUAAAAAUGUAGACAAUUUGGGUAACAUUGCACCGCAAGUCCCGUCACUGCAACAGAAUUAGGUUAUAGCGACACAUGUUUGGGACACUUUUGUCUAAGUGUCCCAUUUAUACAAAAAUUUUAAAAAACAUCUACUAAUGUUUAAAUAUAAAGCCAAAUCCAACAAAAAAUAAAAGGUUACUCUACUCAACCCAUCCAACCCAGCCCAUUUAGCCCGAUUACAAACAGAAAAGAAAAAACAAAGAAAAAUCGAUUACCAUCUCCCCUUCUCCUCUUACUUAUUCCAUUGAAAUCCUAGACGAAGGGCCCUUCCCUCUCGUCCUCCUCUGCCACUGCAGCCAACAAGGUAAAGUUCCGGCGGUUGGUAGAUGCUUAAAUAAGUGUUGCUAAAUUAGCAACACUCUUUUUAGAUUAUAGCGGCACUCUUUAACUGUCACUAUAUACCUAGCAACCCCGCGUAUAGCAACACUCUUUAAAAGUGUCGCUAAUUUAGCCAGCAUCACUUUUUUUGAUCUGUACCGACAUUUAAAAGUGUCGCUAUAAACCGUUUUUGUUGUAGUGCGUAAUAUUUUAUAUGUAAAAGUACUACACUACACUACUAUUUAUGUAUAAUAAGUUUCCAAAACAGGAGUCAAAUUUGGUCAACUAAAUAUGGCUAGUUUCAACCUUUCAAUAAUAACAAAAAAAACCUUGUUUUGAAAGCUCUUGCUAGCUUCAAUAACCUUAUCUCUAAGAGUUGAUAAUGUUGACCAUACAUUAUUUAGAUAUAUGUAUUAGGUAAUUUGUCCACUUCAAAGGCAAAUUCGUGGAAACUUUUUUUGAAUGAAAACGACAAAUUCUCGAACCUACUGCAAAGUAUUCAAACAAACUUGAAUGAUCCUCUCAAUAAUAUUGUUGAUUACCAACCGUAGCUAGCAUGAUUUACUAAGAACUUAAUAAUUAAUACCUAAGUUUCUAAGUUCAAAAAUUACUUCACAUCUCUAGCAGAGUUCAUUUUUUUUUAACCUGCAACAUUUCUCUCUCUCAAAAAAAGUUGUUAGUUCUAAUAAUGAAAUUCCUUAAUCACAACUAAUGAACAAAUGCUAAAGGAGAGGGAUUAAGUUGUCCAUGAACAAGUAAAAUAAUGCAUCCUCUAUAUGCUAAGAUUUAAGUGAUAGAAACGAGUUUAGAUUCAUCUUAAAACUUCCACUCGCAUAUGUGGGAAUUGAAUUCAAAACACCUUAAUUAGAACAGAGGGAGCUUAAGACAGGCUCUAAUCUUAUGUUUCUAAAAAAAAUGAUUAAUAGAAAAUAAUUCCGAAAUUAUCUUAAGUACAGUUGAACUGUGCAAAUAAGCUAAGCAACUUAUAUCUCGUUCUAAGAAAUUAUUAAUGGUGAGCCGCAAAUCUUGAGCAGACUCUAGAAAAUGUAAGAUUUGAAGAUUAGGUUAAGAAUAUUAUAAUACGUAGCUAGGCUCCUACAAUUUUAGGUUGUCCCGUAAUUGAGAGAUCAUUUUUGUUUCCAUCGUUUUUCUUUUAUCUUUCAAUAGUUGGCCCACAUUUUUGCCUUUUUUUUGGUGUUGAGGCCAAAGUUUAUAUUCUUUAGUGGCCCACAAUGUGCGUGCACAAAAAUAAUUUUUUUUAAUUUUAUUCUAUUGAAAAAAGGAAGCGGGAAUUGAGAACUAGAAUCUUUUUCUAAGUUAAACACUACAACAAAAACGGUCUAUAGCGACAUUUUUAAAUAUAGGUACAUGUCAAAAAAGUGCUGCUAGCUAAAAUUACCGACACUUUUAAAAAGUGUUGCUAUAUGUGGGUCGCUAGAUAUAUAGUGACAGUUAAAGAGUGUCGCUAUAACCUAAAAGAGUGCUGCUAAUUUACCAACACUUAUUUAAGCAUUUAGCAACCGCCGAAACUCUAUCUCGUUGGCUGCGGUGGCGGAGGAGGACGAUAGGAAAGGCUCUUCGUUUAGAAUUUCAGUGGAUUGAGUGAAGAGAGAAGAAAAGAUGGUAAUUGAUUUUUCUUUUUUUUUUUUCUUUUCUGUUUGUAAUCGGGCCAAAUAGACUGGGUGCGGUGGGUUGAGUAGAGUAAUCUUUUAUUUUUGGUUGGAUUGGGCUUUAUAUUUAGGCAUUAGUAGAUGUUUUUUUAAGUUUUAGGAUAAAUGGGACACUUACUCAAAAGUGUCCCAAAUAUGUGUCCCUAUAAUCUAAUUCUGUUGUAGUGAAAAAAGAGUUUAGGACCAACUCUAGUGCCAUAUUAUCCAAUUAAUUAGGUCAAUAAAAUAAAAGAUAUCUUAUAAAUAGUCUUACUGCUUAUAUAACGUACCGUUAUUAUAACAGAGAGUUACACUGAAUUCAGUAGUCAUUCACUAAUUAAAUAUUUUAAUCAAAUUUUUUUUUAAUAAAAAUUUUAAAAUAAUUUGUAUAGCAAAUAUGAUCAUUAUGUUAGUAUAAAUGCUUGGACGAACGCAAACAUCAAUUAAUUAAUUUGUAUUUCAAUUUUGGCGUUCCGCCGCAGCCCUACGUACGUGCGCGUGUUGCUGUCACUCGUGUGAACAAACACAGUGCAAUUGUGCAAUGCAACGACGCUCUUCGAAACCUCCUCGCAAAACCAUUUGUUCAAUUAGUUCAUCGACCCUUUCUUUACUUAGACUCUCUAUUCAACCACACGUUACUUUCAUGGCCCCAUAGAAUUAAAUAGGUUUAUUCUCACGUGUGAAAUUCUAGCGAAGUAAUUAUAUCAUGAUCUUCUUUGAUUUAUACAUGUAUAUCAAAAUAAAUUAUAUAAAAUAGAUUGAAAAGAACAACGAAAAAGAAUUAAUCGUUUGCUGGGGCUUGGUCAAUGCAAGGAAAGGCAGGGCCAAAAAAUAUCAAUAUCUAGGAAUGUUGUGUGGUUCUUCUUCUUUGAAAUAUGCUUUCUAAACCCCACUUGUCGAGCCAAUUUUUCAAAAAAGAGGUGCUUGUGUUCAAGGAACUGGAUCUAACUAAUGGAACAAAUUAAGAAGCAGCAUGCAUGUUUGUAUUAAUUUGGAAAAUCUCUUCGGGAAUCUUUGUAAUCUGUAGCAUCUGAGAAAAAAAUCUGCUCCAAAUUAAUGAGUCGCGUUCGCUGUGACGUAACAAACGAAGAAAGUAAACCCGCACUUUAUGACCAAGUGCAUGUAGUCUAUGAAUGUACGUACUCAGAUGUGUUGGAAUAUUAGAACCCUAAAACUAUCACUCUAAAUGGUCUUUUUUAUAUUUUUAUUAUCUGUCUAGGGGGAAGAAAAAAAAGGCAAGGUUUGGUUGGGAAUUAUGAUGUCGCUGUUGUGGGGUAUUGUCAUGCCAGAGGAUCGCGCUAAGGUGAAUAGUGCACUAUCCAUGAUAUUUUAUAAAUUUAAUCAAGCAAUUUAUUUUUUCUUCCAAUAUAUAUAUAUAUAUAUAUAUAUAUAUAUAUAUAUAUAUAUAUAUAUAUAGAGCAUUGAGCUAAAAUACUUUUAAAAGUAUCACCUUAUUGGUGCUUUUGAGAGUUUUCUAGCUCAACUCUCUCUCUCUCUCUCUCUGAUUACUAAUAGCCAUUGGAUCAAACACUAUUCCACCUACCACCACCUACCACUAUCAUCACAACCUUAUAUUCCUCCAUCCAAUGGUUAAAAACUCAAAAGCACUACUUCAUUGGUGCUUUUGGUCUUUUUUGUAUUUUUAUUAUCUGUCUAGGGGGAAGAAAAAAAAGGCAAGGUUUGGUUGGGAAUUAUGAUGUCGCUGUUGUGGGGUAUUGUCAUGCGAGAGGAUCGCGCUAAGGUGAAAAGUGCACUAUCCACGAUAUUUUAUAAAUUUAAUCAAGCAAUUUAUUUUUUCUUCCAAUAUAUAUAUAUAUAUAUAUAUAUAUAUAUAGAAUUGACCUGCAAUACUUUUAAAAGUAUCACCUCAUUGGUGCUUUUGAGAGUUUUCUAGCUCAACUCUCUCUCCUUGAUUACUAAUAGCCAUUGGAUCAAACACUAUUCCACCUACCACCACCUACCACUAUCAUCACAACCUUAUAUUCCUCCAUCCAAUGGUUAAAAACUCAAAAGCACUACUUCAUUGGUGCUUUUGGUCUUUUUUGUAUUUUUAUUAUCUGUCUAGGGGGAAGAAAAAAAAGGCAAGGUUUGGUUGGGAAUUAUGAUGUCGCUGUUGUGGGGUAUUGUCAUGCGAGAGGAUCGCGCUAAGGUGAAUAGUGCACUAUCCAUGAUAUUUUAUAAAUUUAAUCAAGCAAUUUNUUUUUUUUUUUUUUUUUUUUUUUUUUUUUUUUUUUUCCUUCUGAGGACGAUUUUCUCGAAAGCUGAUUUCUGUCAAAGAACAUAGGUAUUUUGACAUGUGUAUGGCUACAUCUGGGAAAUUCUUGUAGUUACUGAGGGUUGCCAAGUACUAGUUCUUUAGUGUUGUUUUAUCAGCAUGUUGGCUGAACACAUCCUAUGCUCUACUUGUAUUUAAUCUGGUCACCUGCUUGACUUCUCAAGAUGUUAUCUAGUACAUAUCGUAUAUUUUGGAUUUUCCAAUGUUGCAUUUUCUAUUAGUUUUGCUUUACUUUGUGGAGUUUUAUUAAGGGAAAACUUCAAAAACUCCCCUUGUGGUUUCGUAGUUUCUCACUUUGCCCCCCUAUGAUUUAAAAUGUAUCAAAUUGCCCCCCUGUGGUUUCGUUUUUAUCUUUUCGGUAGCUUUUUCGUUAAUAUUUCAUUAAAUUAUAUACAAAAAACUUCAGAUACCUAUCUAGAUUUAUCAAAUAUUCACUUUAGUACCCUUUAAUUUUAACUUUAUCACUGAUUUAAGAAAAAAAAAUAAUGAAAUUGAUAAGAAAAAGAGAAAAAAGAAACCACAGGAGGGCAAAUUGAUGCAUUUUAAACCACAGGGGGGCAAAGUGAGAAACUACGAAACCACAGGGGGGGUUUUUGAAGUUUUCCCUUUUAUUAAUGAAGUAGGAGCUGGGAUGAUAGGUUGAGAUCAUCAUUGAAUGGUUUAUUCAUCGUAUUUGUUAGUUUGGAUGGAUGGAUUUGUGAUGUAGCUAAUGUUGGUUACCUGAUUAGGUAAUCGGAAUUGACUUGUUGUCGCAAUCAUUGCUUCCUGCAAUUGUGGAGCUGGCAGAGGACAGACACUGGAGGGUUCGUCUGGCCAUAAUUGAGUACAUUCCUCUUUUGGCUAGUCAGUUAGGCGUUGGAUUUUUUGAUGAUAAACUGGGUGCUCUUUGCAUGCAAUGGUUGGAAGAUAAGGUAUAUGCGCAUACUUCUAUGAUCUUACAAGUAUGUUCUAGAUGACUUUCUUUUGUUAACCAUUGUAAAGCAUCUUGUUAUUGAACAUGUUGAACCACAUAUCUGUUUCCAGUCGUUAGCUUAACUCCAUAUGUACUUGUUAUUUAUUUGGAAUUAGUUGUUGUCGGAGUAGCGAUAAUUUUUGGAAACUCUUGAAAGUUGAUUCCUUAAUGAAUCUCUCUGGGAUCUUAGAGUAUGCAAUUACUUUUAGAGAUACAUACGUCGUAACCCUACAGAAUAAUAUAUUUACACAUCUAUGUUUUGUUACUAAAUUUGAUAUGCCCUCUUACUUAAGAAUAUAUCUGAGUUUGGAAAACCUUUUCUACUACAAGACUAAUCUCCCCCAUGAAUUGGAUGAUUGUCCAACUGAAUACUGGGGUAUUUUGUUAGGGGCUGUAAUUUUGAGGAGUUAGGCAUAGAUAGUAGAUUACUUCACUGGGUCAUGUUUGUAAAUUCUCUAUAAUUCAUGCAUGAGGUUGUGCAUCUCUUCCAGUAACCGAAUCUGGGAAAGUGCGUGGGUAUGGGAGUUCGCAUCCAGUUGCUCCUUUCUUUUGUUCCAUAACAAAUUAUUUAGUCUAAUAUGAAUCAUGCUUUGUUCAAAAUUAUUUUUUUCUGGCGUUUGCUGAUAUCGAAAGCCAUUAAACUAAUCUUGAGGAUUAUCCAUCAAUUGACUACAAAACAUGGUUAUUUUCAGGUUUUCUCAAUUAGAGAUGCAGCUGCUAAUAACUUGAAGCGACUUGCUGAAGAAUUUGGACCAGAAUGGGCAAUGCAGCAUAUAGUUCCGCAGGUUUGCCUCCAAAUUCUUGAUUUGAACUUGAAAACUAAGUGUUAUUUAAUUAAUCAUUUCUGGUUUCUUUGGUUGUCCUUGUGUGACUCAAAUAUGUGCAAGGUUUGCAAAAGUGGUUUCUGUACUCCUAAUUUCUUGGUUCAUGCUUAUCACAUGGAUUUAUUAGAGCAGUACUUUGUAGAUGGCAAUGCAAUAUGGUCUUGAAUCUCUUUAGUCGCAUCAUGGUAUGUGCCUAUAUAUUCAUGAUUCUGACCUUAUAUAGCCGUUUUAGGUUGAAGUGUCGAUCCUUAAGUCAGUGAAAGGAGCUUAAAAGUAGGUAUACUUGAUAUUUAAUUACAUUUGCAUCUUGUGCUAUAUGGAUGCAUAUGCAAUAUAUAGGUAGCAUCGUAAUUCAUAUGCAGUAAAUACAGUGAGAUAGUGCCUUAUUAUCUUGAUAUAUGUGAGUAUAUCAAUGAUACCUUAGUAUGAUCCUUCUCUUUUACUUUGUGGGUUACUUGUGCAUUGGUUUUUCAACUGGGCCCUGAAUGUUCUCUUCGUGUUCUUUUGGUUGUUUUGGGCGGAGGGGGUUUUGAUUUCUCGUCGUAUUGAGCAAUCACAACCGUCAUUUGUUCCACACAAGAUGGGGUUUAAUUAUCAUGAUCUUGAUUGAGCUUCUCUUGGUGUAUGUGAUGAAUGCUAUAAAUAACUAUUUACCUCCUAAUGACACAAACAAUGGUUGAUUUAAUAGUUAUAAUCUUGGCGUUUUCAUGUAUGUAUCUGCCAGUUGCUUUGAAAGUUGGAAUUAAUAUCUUGCUAUGAUGGAUUAUGACUUAAAGUUUGUGUUUGUCUUUUUUUCUUUGCUCUGUAUUGAUGAUCGAAAUUUUUCAAACAUUUUCUCGAUGCAAUAAUUGCUUCUUUCUUCUUUCUUGGUUAUUUUGGGACCUUCAGCAUAUAUGUAUUUAAAUCAUCCGUGUAAUAUUUAUUUAUGUAUGUGAUUCUUCAUUAAUUAGAAUAGACUUGCUGUCGAAGUUUUUCAUACUCAGGUGUAUCCCACAAACUUUUGUUUAAAUGAUAAAAGAUCAUAAUUAUCUCUAGGCUGUUGUGGAAGGUAUCAGGGAAGAGGCUUCUUUAAAGGUUUUCCUUUGCAUAGUGGUGACUUAAAUCUUUAUAAUUCUCUCAAUUGUUAUUUAGAUGAUACUCCCUUAAAACCAUUCCCUAAUCGUAGCUUAGUUUGUAGCAAGGCUGUGCAGUUAUUGGUUUUUGAUUAUUUUUUCUGAAGGUGCUGGAGAAGAUCAACAAUUCACAUUAUUUGUACCGUAUGACCAUUCUACAUGCAAUUUCCUUACUAGCCCCCGUCAUGGGUGCGGAUAUCACGUGCCAAAAGUUACUUCCUGUUGUCAUCGCUUCCUCCAAGGACAGGUAACUACUAUUAUCUAUCAAGAAAACAGGUUGGCUAAAAUGCUAACAAAUAUUGUGAUUCUCCUUUUGCCCCUUGAAAUAUUUAUGCUACAAUUUGCGGUUACAUUGCCUCUCUUUUCGAUAGUAUACCUUUGGGAAUAAUAUAACUUUGCUUAGAAGCAUAUGAGGUAGAAUGUAGAUUUUAAUACAUCAGGGGCCAAUGUUAAACAAACAGUAUUUAGAGGAGACAUCCUGAAUUUUAGCCAAAAAUGAACCAUCCUAUUAGGCAUCUGACAUGGAUGUUUUGACACUGCAACAGGGUACCCAACAUCAAAUUCAAUGUGGCAAAGGUUCUGCAGUCUCUCAUACCCAUACUUGAUCAUACUGUGAGUAACUUAAAUUCCUCUGGUGAUUGUAUAUUUCAUACCCUAUUUUUAGUGCCUGUUUGGCUCAGUUUCUUGAGCAGUUUCUCUGCUCUGAAAAGUGGUAGGCAAGCAUUUGGCAAUAAAAAAUCCCUGAGCUUUUCUGUAGCGGCAAGCUAUAACGAGCUUUUAGCCCUCCUAGAAGUGGUUGCUCCAAUUUGAAGCUUUUGCUCCGUUGUAGUCAGAGAAGCUCUUGGGGUGAUUAUAAUUGAAGAGCAAUUAACGCCUCCACAAAAAGCUCUACUUGAACAGUACUUCGUACUUCUAUAGCAGCUCCAGCUGUCAAAGUAAGUGUUCUUACAAGUUUAUGAUUGCUUGAAAUUUUUCGUACCUCAGGUGGUGGACAACACGAUUAAGCCGUGUCUCCUCGAGCUCAACGAGGACCCGGAUGUGGAUGUUAGAUUCUUCGCUGGCCAAGCACUUCAAGCGUGCGAUCAAGUCAUGAUGUCGACCUAGAUCGCUUGGUCGGGGCGUUUCGGUUCGUCUUAUUUUCUCUCGCGUCUUCUAUGUAAGCCAUGUUGUAUGUUUUCACUGAUGAAGUUUGAGCUUCAAGCUUCUUAAAUUUGAAUGGUUUAAUUUUAAGAGAUGCUAAUAUAUAGGUUUUUUUUUUUUUCCUUUUUGACUACCUUCUUUAUAUCUACUAUAAAUGAAGGUGCAACCAUUUUAUGUAGGCUUUUUUUUGUCAUUUAAUUUAUUCUGGUGCUUGCAGGGUUCUAUUUCUUUUGAUCUUUAUCAUGAAAGCCUUAUUGUAAUUUGUUUUAGGAUAAAUUACAGUUUUGGUCCCCAAACUAUGAGGCACAUGACACUUUCAUCCUCUAGUUUUAAUUUGUUGCAAUUUGUAGCUCCGAUUUUGAAAAUUGUUGCAAUCAAGUUCCAUGAUUCGAGUGGUUAACCAAAUGGUGAUGUGCUGCUGAUAUGAAGAUGAUAUGGCAUUUAAUUUAUUGCUGUAUUAUUAAUUACAACACACAUUAUUUUCAUAUCAGCUACAAGAUAAUAUUUUGUCUAAUAAAUUGGGUCGUGGGAUUUGAUUGUAGCAAUUUAAAGAAUUUGUGCGUCUCACAGGUUGGGGACCAAAAGUGUGAUUUAUUGUGUUGCUUAUUCUCUAUUCUACACGAUUAUGAUUUUCAUUGGUUUAAUGCGCAGUUUGAUUUAAAGUUUUUUGAGAAAUUUAAAAUUCAGUAAAAUGAGAAACUCAAGUCUCAAUUUGGGAAUAAAAAAUACAAAUUUUUUUUAUUUCCCCCCCAAUAUUUUUGGUUUUUAGGAAGUAGUCUUAGAUCAUCAUAACAUAAAAAGUUAAUAAUAAUAAUUUUUUUUAAAAACCCCGAAAAACCUAUAAGUAGCCACAAGAGGCCUUUUGAUUUGUAAUGUUUGUGUCUUUCGGUUGAGUCUGAAUUUUUAUAUUUGGAAUUUGGUUUGCACUAUCCAAAUAUAUUUGAGGCGAAACAAAGAUUUGAAUGUACGGAUGCCAGUGAAUUUGAUAAUCCAAAAUUUUAUCCAAAUGCGGACGGGUAUAGAUUUAUUUGAUGCAAAAUAAAUAUAAUUUCGAAUAUGAGUAUAAAAAAUAAAAAUUCGAUGUAUUUGAGUUUAGAUAUGAAUCUUGUCUAUACCCGAUCUAAAACCAAAUUAGAUCCAAACUCGAAUAGAUAUAAUUCCAAGCGUUUAAUGCUAUUGAGUUUUGAGUUUUUUAUUUUUAAAUUUACCAUUGUGAGCAUUUUUAUCCGUUAGAUCAUACUAUUCAAUCAACUAUUCACUAAACUGUAGGGACUAUCCUCAUUAGUGAGCUUUAAUACAAAGGCGAACCACCCGAGCUCUACACCCCGAAAAUAUGGAGAGAGCUUUUUCAGGGUUUGCAAUUCAUUCGUUCCAUGUGAUGUUUUGAAGUGCGAUAAAAAAAAUUUUAAAAAAAGUUUGGGGUUCAGGUUCAGGUUCAGGUUUGUAAUCCGGUUCGGCUUUGAAUGCAAAAUUUCAAAGUCCGUAAGAUUCGGAUUUGGCUUUGAAUGCAAAAUUUCAAAGCCUGUCGGAAUUUGAUUAUCGGUGUCGGCUUCCGAUUCGGGUUUAUGUUCUCUUUCGAAGUAUUAUUCUCUUUUUCUCUUCAUUCUUAAAAACUUUAGCAACUUUUCAAGUAAACCCCCUGACUUUUGAGCCUGACAAAUUCACCCUCCAACCACCCAACCCCUAAUUUUGGCACUCAUAUAAUGUUACCACAUGCAAUUCGAUCUUGCGAACAGCUAACGGGCCACGAUUUGACACGUCAUGAGAAACCAACGGUCACAAUGAUCUUGCCAACGAUCCCGCCUUUUCUUUUCUUUUCUUUAAAUUUAUUGUACUAUUUUUUUACAAUAAUAAUUCCAUUACAUAUUUUAUAUAUAUAUAUAUAUAGAGAGUUGGACUGGGCUACUAUUAGUAGCAAAAUUUCAUUGUUGCUACCAGUUUUUUAUCUUUUGGAUCAACUCUUUUUAUUAUUUCUAACCAUUAGAUUAAAUACUAUAACCUAGCGGAAACCACUCAAUCCUAGGGAGACCACUUAACUCUAACUGACUAAUAUCAUCCUGACCCUAUAAUUUUUCAUCCAAGGGUUAAAAAUUUGAUAGCAAAAAGAGCGUUUUACUAUUAAUAGUAUUCUAGCAUAAUUCUAUAUAUAUAUAGAGAGAGAGAGAGAGAGAGAGAGAGAGAGUUGAGCCAGAAUACUCUCAAAAGCACCAAAAAGGUGGUGCUUUUGAGUUUUUAGCCAUUGGAUGGAGAGAUGAAGGAUUGAGAUGAUAGUGGUAGAUGGUAGACUGGUGAUAGGUGAAAUAGUGUUUGAUCCAAAGGCUAUUAGUAAUCAAGGAGUAGAUCCAAAGGCUAGAAACUUAAAAGCACCAAGAGGUUGGUACUUCUAAAAGUAUUCUAGCUCAAUUAUAUAUAUAUAUAUAUAUAUAUAUAUAUAUAUAUAGAGAGAGAGAGAGAGAGAGAGAGAGAGAGAGUUGAGCUAGAAUACUUCCAAAAGUACCAAAGAGGUGGUGCUUUUAAGUUUUUAGCCUUUGGAUGAAGAAAUGUAGGGUUAGGAUGAUGGUGGUAGGUGGAAUAGUGUUUGAUCUAAAGGCUAUUAAUAAUCAAGGAGUAGAUCCAAUGGCUAAAAACUUAGAAGCACCAAGGAGGUGGUGCUUCUAAAAGUAUUCUACCUCAACUAUAUAUAUAUAUAUAUAAGCUGCUAUACUAUCUGUAGUACGGAGGCUUCCCUGCUACCAAGUUAUUUUCAAUGAUCUGGCCUUUAAAUCGACGAUUGGCUUCGUUAGACUUGAUCUACACUAUUGAAAAUAUUGAAAGAAUGGUUUGAAGUCGAGCCACACGCUCUUAUCUAUGUGACUGAAAUUUUGGGACAUUUAUAUAAUUCAGAUAUAUUUUUUAAAAUAGUGUUUAUAGUACUAAAAAAAAUUGAACUAUAUAUUUGAUCUAAGCCUACCUUAUAUUCAUUUGACGGUCUAAUUAAUGAAUGCUCCCUUAAGUUGGUGUAUGUAACAUAAUUGUUGCGGUUAUGAAAUGAUAACUUAGACCAAAUUAAACCAUGUACAACAACGUAGCUAAUUUGUUCGGAAAACACUGAUUUGCUAUAAAAUCUCUCUUAUCAUGUGGAAUAACUAGUUUAGUAAUGCUAUACCCAUAAUUAAUAAUGAAUUCGCGUGUAGAAUAAUCCUUAAAUAAGGUGAAGCAAUCCAUUAUGGUUCGCAAAUUUUCAUUAUGGAUGUAGCAUUUAACUCCCUUUGUAUCCCUACUUUAAUCUUGUAAAAUUUCAUAUGAAAAGAAUAGUCAAAAAUAAUCUCAAAAAAUUUAAUUAGACUAACAUUUUGAUACUUUUACCCAACCUCGUUACUUAGCAAAAUAUUGUCGAAUGUAAAACAAACAAUUAGUUUUUUCUCUAAAAGUUUAAGCUAUGUACAGAGAAUUUUAAUUAAUAUUUAGUAUUCAACACUUUUCCUUACUAUGUCUUGACUCAAGAUUUUCAAGAUAUAAAUUUAAAUUAUAUAGAAAAAAUAAAAUAAAACUAGGAUUUUUGUGAGAUUCAAAUUUAGUAUCUAUUGCUCGAUAUCAUAUGAAACAACUGGUUUUCUUAUAUAAUAUUCAAACUAAUUAUUAGUACCUACUGCUCCGAUAUCAUAUAAAACAACUGUUUUUCUCAAUAAAAAAAAAAAAUUGAGUUAUAAAAGAUCGGUUAGUAUUGAGUCAUUAGAAUAUAUAACGAUUACUAAACCAUUUCGGAGGGAUACCAUAACUCCUCGUGCUUGACAUUAAUUGCCAGAAUACGACUUCCUCCUAAGCAGAAUCCAAAUUCAAUCACACAAAUACUUCCUACACACUCUAUCCAUAAUAUUUCAAUGCAUCAACAGUAAUAAUUAGGGAGCAGUGACUUAAACUUCACAACAUAUAUAUGUGAGCCAAAGACCUUUAUUUUUUUCUUAAGAGAAAAUGGGUAGGAAAGGGAAGGAGCCCUUCAUGCAAUACAAAAGAUUAGCAACGAAAAGCGCUUCUGAAGAAGCAAUUCAUGAAGAGCGAGUCCCCAAAGGGUACGUGCCUAUACUAGUAGGGAAAGAUGAAAUAAUGGAGAGGUUCCAUGUGCACGUGAAGCUCUUUAGUGAUCCAUGCAUUGUGGUGCUACUGGAUAUGGCUGCGGAUGAGUUGGGGUACAAGCAAGAAGGUGUUCUUAGAAUCCCUUGCGAUACCGAUCAUUUCCGAAGGGUGAUUGGUACUGUUCUAUCGAAAGAGGAAGUAACGAGCUUUACUGUCCCUACUUAGCUAGCUAGUUUUAUUUUUCUUUCUCGCAAGUGAUCUCACGCAUGUAUGUUUGGACCUUCGUUUUUGUGUUCCCUUUUUAACUAACUUUCUUGUUUGAAAGGAAGCAAAAGUUUGGGGUGUCGAAUAUUGAUCCUUAUAGGGUUUGAUCAUUCACUAAUUUUGUGUUUGUCGGGCGUCGGUGAUGAGAAAAGCACAAACUUCCUGUAUGCAUCGGACCAUAAAAUCCAUUUCGAUCGUUAAAACUUGCUUCUCCUUCUUCUUUUCUUCUCCCCCUUGUUGAUGAUCAUUAUUGUUGGUGGAGAUCAAUGCUGCUAUUUUUGAAGAAAAACCUAAUCUUCUGGUAUGCAGGAAUAUUGGUUUUUGGCUAAACGUAUGUAGAUGAAUGACGCAGUGUUUAAGCAUAGAUGAGUAAUGGGGUGCUUGCAGGGAACUUUAAAGAAAGUGAAAAACAAUAAUAAUAAUAAUAAUAAUAAUAAUAAUAAUAAUAAUAAUAAAACAUGUCUUAAAAGAUCGAUUGUGCAUUUGAUUCAUACUCCAAAGAAAAUCAGCAUUGCACUAAUAAUCUGUAACAAAACACAUUAUUAUCGAUGGUUAUUGCACUUGAAGUUUGUAUACUCAAGUUAAUUAGAAGGCUAGCUAUUUCGAGAGUACGAGUUAUUGUCCUCGAUCAUAAGUAGCCUUACUUCAAAAAGUACGUAAAAUUCAUAAUAAGAUGGUGUUGAUGUUGGAUAAUAAUGAAAAUUUUACAAGAGUGCGCACAAAGCAUAAAAUAAAAUGAAACAAAGAAUAAGCAGAUAGAUUGAAGAGAAUGUUAAUAAUCAAAUGAUGUAUUUCAUGUGUUUUAAUAAUUUUAUUUUAAAAAAUUGAAGAAAAUUUAUGGAUUUUAUGGUGCCUUGCCUGCAGAAUAAAGUCAAUUAUUCUGAAGUUUCUUUAGCUAUUUUGGAGUAUUUGAGACGGUAAAAUUUCAUUUAUAUCAUUAUUCCAAAAAAUUAAUCAUGUACAAUUUUUUAAAAAAGUUUACAAUAAGUUCAGAAAUAAUUUUAUAACAUUGAAAAUAACAUAGGAUUAUUUUUUUGAAAACAGAAAUAUUAUUUGGGCAAGAAGAAACAUAAUUAAUUAUAAAUGAAAUAGCCUCUAAUUAAUAUUCAGCUUUAUAAACACAAGGAAUCCUUAAAAUUAAUCACUUCAACUCUUCAAGUUGUUUCCUAUUGUUUUAUAUAUUUAUCUGGAGCUAGCAUCAAAUAUUACGAAAAAUGCGUGACUAAACGACUUCGCUAUAUUUGAUAUUUCUCAACCAGUACUCUCCUGUUCUUAUGCAACAAUUAUUAUAAUUAAUAUGGUAGCUAGGACAUAAGACCAGUAUACAAAAUUUCCACUGCAUUAUUUUUUGCUGAUGCACGUGCAUCAUAGUCAAAUAAACAAUUUCUUUGCAACCUUUUUCCUCACAUACUCACGACCAAUGUAGUAUUCUCACAAGUUCCCUUCUCUACUAACUCAUCUAUUCGAUUUAAAAUUUAUGGCUGAAAGUUCCUAUCUUCUAGGAAAAAAAGAAAAAAAAAAGGAUUCAAGUAGAGCCAUAAAAUCAAAAGUUAAAUUUAGGCUUUUUAAUGUAAAAAAACCUUUCUUUGCUAAACUUUUGCUGAGAAAAAAAAUGGUUUUUUUUGCACCCUUAACCAUUGCGGUAAUUAAUGUAAUAGCAAAAGGAGGCUUCAUGAAGCCCACUAAAAUUCUUAAUAUAUGAUUAAGCAAGAAAAAAUAGAUGCAAUAUGCGGCUUUAAUUAAUUUGCUGACGUGAUGACAUGUUACGUGCUGUUAAUUAAAAAGAAUUCCACUUGAGAUUUUUUUUCUUUGUUUAAGUAUAUCUAUGUUUGUAUGUUGUGACUAUUGGUCAAUAUCAAGGAUGUCAUCUUGAAUUGAACUUUUCUUAGCAUAAGAAAAGAGUUUAACUUCAACGUCCUGCAAAUCCAUUAGCAUAUAUAUAUAUAUAUAUAUAUAUAUAUAUAUAUAUAUAUAUAUAUAUAUAUAUAUUCAUUUAUUUAUUUAUAAAUAUAUUUAUAUAUAUUAUGNAAGAAAACUUGAAAUGCUAUCAAAAUGAGAAUUUUUAUCAUGAAAAUGCUAGGACGUUAGAUAACGACCAUGAGUACGUAAGUUUAAUUUUAAUAACCUACUAGAGCUAAAGUGAUAUAAUCUGGUAUAUAUCUUAUUCAUCUCGAAAACUACGAAAGUCCUCAGGAAAUUUUUCACCAAAUAUACAGUCGUAUGAUUACACAGUGUAAAUCUAAUUAAACAUGUCAUAUCUAGUGGUGUAGUCGUAUAUAUCUUCCAUAGGUAUUCUCCGAGAUUAGAGAUUUACUUGGUCUGAUGAAUUAUGCAGAGAAUUAAUCUUCACAAAUUUGCUAGCUAGAUGAUCUAUCGCAGUAUACAGGUAAAAAUUUUCUUACUUCUAUUAUUCUUUUUUUCUUUUCAAAUUAUAACUACCCCUGUUUUAGUAAUACAACCAAUUAAUUAGAUCAGUUCUAAUUAACCUUUCACUAUCAGAUCAUACGUGUUUAUAUUUUUAUCCAUGCAUACAUCACGUUACCAUAUGAGGAAGCUAGAAUACAAAAGAAAUAUAAAUAAUAAGCAUAAAUAAAAUUUAUAAUAUUCAACCAUCCCUAUUUGUGUUCGCCUAGCUAUAUAUAUAUAUAUAUAUAUAUAUAUAUAUAUAUAUAUAAACAAGAUUCGUAACAACACACUCAAAUUAAGCCUAGAGAAAGAAUCAGAAAAGAUAAAUGAGGAAAAAGCCCUUGGUUCCUCGCGGACAUAUCCCGAUGCAUGCUCAUCGGGCAGGGAAAAAUGAUAGAAAAUAUUUUGGUGAACGCCAACGUGCUAAAGCAUCCAUAGUUCAUGGUGUUCUUGGAGCUUGGGGCACUCGAAUUCAGGUAUGAUCAGCAGGGGAUCCUGCAAAUUUCGUGCAUCGUCGAGCAUUUUCGCAUGGCAGUUGAUUUGAUCACGAGGAACAAGCGUAGAAGUGCGUUGUUGUCGGCUCCUCUUGGCUCUAGCCUUGAUGUACUAAGCUGAUUGGAGAGUAUUUUUCAAACAUUUUGAGGGGUUACUUUCAAUUAAGUACUUAUCUAUUUUUCAAACAUUUUGACAGGAACAUUUUCAGUGUUUUGAAUAAAGUACUUUGAGCUUUUUGAAUUUUGAGUCUAGGUCAUUUUCAAUGUACCAAGUGAGAUAGCUCUUAAUUUCAACAAGUGCAUAGAGAGAAAUAGAUCACGUACGUAGAUUAGGCUUCAAAUUUUGUGGAUUGGGCUAUGUUUGUCUCAUCCUAUUCUCAAGUUUUGUUUUAAAAAAAAAUUUCUUUUUCUUAGCAAGUGAAAUUUUCCAUCAUUUUUCUUUUUUUUUUUAUUAUAGAUUUCUUAUAAGGGUGAUUUGUGAUUGAGAACUAUUACAUUUUGUUGGGAAAUAAUAGUGACAAAAACCAAAUCCUUGCACCAAAGACCAUGUGUAUCUAAUUAAUAGGCAUAUUCCUUGUUCUCAACCAAAACUGUUCCCAUUUUCUCAUCCACUUUGAACAUGCAUGAACAAUUUUUUUUUUAUUAAUAUCCAUUUUCAAUUGAGUACAACUACAAAAGAAAUAAUUGUUUCAAAUUAAAGUACUUCAAAGAUUUUGCUAAACUGAACCAUUCAAUGCGUUGCGAAGGCGUGGGCCGAGCCCGGUUUGAGCCUGGACCUUGAGGCCCAGAGGCCCAAUUUGUCGUAGAACUUAAUUAAUAAAUAAAUGGAUGAUUGAUACAUAAAAAAUCUGUUCAAACGAUCAUAAUAUAAAUUGUUUUCUUAAAAAUUAAUGUAAAGCCAUUGAAUGAUUUCCUUCAACUUCAAGCUGCAGACAAAUUAAUUUGAAAUCAAAUCACACUUUAAACGUGAAUGAAUGUGUUCACCGUGCCUAAGGGCUUUUUCGAAUCCUAGUUAAUUCAUAUUUCUAACUAAAUUUAUUUUUAAAUAAAAUAAACGAAGCGAAUAGUACGUAUGCUAUCUAUCUCUAAAAAAAAACCUAAAUAUAUAUUUACUAAACAUUAAAAAAAAACUUGCUCGAUGUUAGAAUCUUCAGAACUGUAGAUACAGGUCCAGAGCUCAAAUCAUGUUUCGAGGACAAAUAAAGCCUAUGUAUGUGCGCCUACGGGGAGACGAACUAUAUAUAUAUAGUGGGCGGGUAUUCUUAUGGAAGCACGGAGCCCUCCGUGCUUCCAAGUUGUUUUCGAUGUUCGGACUUUCGAAUCGACGAUCGGCUCCGUUAGAGUUGAUUUAGAGUAUUUGAAGUACCUAGAAAAUAAAUUUUGUGAUUUUUCGAUAUCAUUUGCCUAGUGAUCGAAGGGUUUCAAAAUCAAUAAUUUUAAUGGUCGUGGUGAACCGAUUGCAAGUUUAACGGUGUAGAAAUAUCCAAAUCACAUAAAAUUUUGAUAGAAAAUUCUUUAUAGGCCGCCGCUUUAGCAGCGUGUGUGCGGUGCUGUUACCAAAAGAUCGGGGACCCGCCGCUUUAGCAGCGUGUGUGGGCUGUGGUGAAACCCACAUCGUCGUUCGUCGCCCUAAGGCUUUUAGGUAUAGUGUAGUUGGUUCCCAACCAGAAUUGGGAUACCUUGACUGGAGAGAUCCAGAUUCGUAAAUAGAGGAUCCAGGUUAACUGAGAUCCAAGUUGUAGGAAAUGUGUUGGAUUCAAUAAUGAAAUCCAAAUAACGAAAGUGUAAGAAUUGGAUCCAAAUAAUGUGAUCCUAGUAGUAAGAAAAGGCUGGAUCCAAAUGAACUGAGAUCCAAUUCGUCGAAAGUAAAGUGUUGGAUACAGGAAACGUAAUCCAAGUUGUAGAGUAAAUAAAUUGGAUACAGGAGCUGUCAUCCAAAUUACGGUGAGCUAGAUAUCCAAAUAAGUACAGGUGGAUAUAUACAAGGAAUCGUAAGAAUUGUACGUGAACGGAAAUGGUAAGAAUAUAGUACGAAUAGUAAAUAUGAAAUCGUAUCGUAGUAAUGAAAUUAGUAAGAUCCCAAUAGUUGGAUCAAGAGUACGUGUAAAUUAGAGCGUUACAGUUGUAUGUAAGUUAUAGAGUAAAAAUUGAAUAUAGCAGUUAUACGUAAAGUAAGAUACGUAAAACGAAUGUACGUAAGUGCAUUAAUAGAUCGAAAUAAGUUGUCCGAGUAUUACGUAAGAUAAAUCGUUAAUGUAGUGUGAUAGUAGUACGUAAUAAAUCGAUGUACGUAGUAAAUGUAAAUAUACGUAGUUGAAAUCGUAGAUGUAGUAUAAUACGUAAAGAUGAAUCGUAGUUGAUAUGGCUAGUAGUUGUACGUAGUUGUACUUUCAGAUUAUUAAUCUGUAUUUCCGCUGGAUCAGCGAAGCCAUUUGGUUGGGUGGAAUUGAGCGCGAGGCUAACGAACAGCUGUGAACGUUAGCCGGAGGGCGCCGUGAGCCGUGGGAAACCCGGGCUGUUCGAGAACGCGGAGUUGGCACAAGGCGAAACGUUUAGGCCUUUAAUAUCCAGAAGCCAAUACGCGGUGCUACGGGGUGCAGGAAAAAGUGCUGGAAUGCUGCGGCAGAGCCUGGAUGUCCGUUCUUACUUCGGAAUUCCGAAUAAAGAAAUUAUUGAAAUUUUGCCGAGCUGCUUACGAGUUUGGCAGAAGCGGGUGCGCAAAGAACUGGAUCGUUAAUCCAACGGAUCGUAAGUUUUAUCUAGUUUUGGGGUGUAAUCGUUUUAGGGGUAAACCCUACGGGAUUACGUUGUAUCCGAAUUAUGGAGCCUAAACUAGAUAUUUUGUUCGUUUUCUUUCGAACAAAUAGUAGAUCUUCGAGUAGAUCCUCGUAAGCUUGAGUAAGAUCUCACAAAUUUCGUUUGAGAUCUUUAAGUGGUAAUCUCGAAGUACUCUUUUGGUACCUAAAGUACCACAAGAUUCGAAGAUGUUCCAAGAUUUAUGUAAUCUUCGAGAUUUAGAGAUUCGAAAUCCCAAAUUUUGGGUAGGAUGGUUUUAGGUGGUACUCUCCUCGUUCCACGAAUGGAGAGGUUUUCGAAGUUUCACUCUUCUUCUACUUCUACUCCUGCCUCUACUUCUAGAAGGAGAAGAAAAGGAAACGAAAGAGAAAAAGAAGAAGAAAAGGAAGAGAGAAAAGGAAAGAAAGGAAGAAGAAGAGGGAAGCCAACCCGUGCUUGUCUCUCUCUCUCUCCCGACACCCUCACACUCUCUCUCCCUAUUUUUGUGAGAGAUUAUGGGAGAGUGUACACAACAUUGUUAUACGGUGAAUCGGGGAGACAAAAAGGUUUUAGACGUUGAGUUGGACGUCAAAGCCCGAGGAACAUGGCCAUGUCCCAAGGAACAAGGCCAUGUUCCGGACCGUCUGUCGGUUUGGGCUCCAACGCGUCACGAACAUGGGCAUGUUCCUAGGAACAAGGCCAUGUUCCGGACCGUCGGAGUUUGGGUUCUCGAGGUCUCACGACAAAAGUGAAGCAAAGCCGAGAUGAAGCGCGGCUAGCUACAGUUUUGGUAAGGUUGUGGAAACCCUGAGUAAAAAAUGAGAAGGUUUGAACAACCUUAUGGCUUACCUUGAACAGGUAGGUUGAAGAAGCGUAUGAAAUCAGCAAAAUCGAUUUCAAGCUAUUAAAGAAAGCUUUGGAGCCCCCAAUGUAUUUAAUACCUCUAAAACCCUAAUCAAUCUUCAUUCGAGCAGAGUACGUCCGGCCGACUUGUUUCUAUAUGCUAUGACCAGGUUAUACAAGCCCGGUUAUAGUGAGGACCUGUUGGUUAUGUUGGAUUAAUUCCGGAUUUAAAGAAAAAAAUAUAAACCCGUCCGGGUAUGUGCCCGUAUACUCGAUCAUUCAUUUAUAGGAACGGUGCAGACCCGGAUAUUUUUUGCUCGGGUUGUGUUGGGGGGUCGAUGAGGGGAGAGCUGGGCUUGGAGGAGAGAACGAAAGAGACAGAGAGUGAGAGAGAGAGCGAGAGCAGAGUGUACGUUUUGUGGUGGCGUGGUCGAGGGCGGGACGCACGGCCCUGGUUGUUUGGAGUCGCGAGGCAAAGAUCCGAAGGCUAAGGAGUAGAAGCAGGAGGAGAGCCGGAGCACGUGCUAGCGGCGGAGACACUGCAAGCCAUUCAAGGCAGUAGACAAAACGGAAGAAACAAAAGGGGAAAAACUACUCAUAAAAACACUAAACACCACCUUCGUUAGCUAGAUCUCCAAAGAACAAGGUAUGCUAACUUCGCUAGCUAGAAAGUAAACCUAAAAGCAUAACCUAAUCCUCUUCUAUCCCAAACCAAACUGAAGAUUCCCAAAGCAGCGGAUUUUUAAUCCCGACGAACUAGGCUACCCCCUAUAGAUCCCAAAAAUCCCGAAACCUACUACCACAUUAACCUACAAAACUACCUAUUCACCCGUACUAGAUUAUGUAUCCAAACAAAAAUAACACUUCUUAUAUCUUAAUCUACUAGAUAGUAGUACACAAGAACAAUAUUAACGAAAUAAAACGGAAAGAACACAACACUAACUUUAAGCUUCCCCCGCAAAAGACAAAACAUGAUUCAUGGACCUUCCUAGGCUGUACAAGAACUUAAUUAAAGAAGUCCCUAAACCACUAAUUAAUUAAUUCUAUUAUUCCUAUAGUAACACUUCUUUUAAAUAGUAUCAAAUUGAAAAACACCCCACAAUUCAAAGUUUAAGUUUCACCUGGUCGAAGGGAAAAAAAAAAAAAGAAAAUUACCAUCUAUAUAACCAAUAGAACACCGUGAUAGAAAGUUUUAAAAAGAGAUUAAAAGGUUUGAACGAUCACCAUUAAGAAUCAUCAAAGCCACUUUGAAAAAUUUGGGAAUACUCCUUCUAUAUUCUCUAAAUGAAAGACUAAGACGUCCUAACUUCAAGAUCGUUUAUAUAUCUUCGACAACUUAUAAUCUAGGACAACAAAAGUUAAAUAAUUAAUAAAUAUGUAAAAACACGGUGGUUGGUCAUGAAGAGUUAGAUUUUGCAUGUAUUAAUUUAACUACACCUGUAGAUCUCUGAUGUAAAAAACUUAAAUACGAAACAACAAAUAACAUAAAACGUAUAUUUGUCAUCUUCUUACAACAUCACAGUGACGUGCGUUGUUGACAGUAUUCAUUAAAUUACAGCAUAUCUUAUAAAUAGAGUAUUAAUUAAAUGAGUGGGUAUAACUCUAUAUAUAUGAUAACUCUAUAUAUUAAAGUUGCUGAACAUUAGAAAACAAGUACAACGGUAGUACAUAAAGAGCAAUUGUACCAUAAGCUUUCAUGAAAUAACGAAUAAAUGGCACAAUUUCUAUGCUAAUAGAAAGGUUAAUAUAUAUCUUUAUUUUUGAGUUUGUAAACUUUUUGUUAAUGUUUAGUCGGGCACGAGCAAUGCGUCAUCAACGAUUACGUUAGAAAGAGCUAACCCGUACCCUAAAUGGUAUUAAUUUUAUCGAGUGGACUAGGUUAAGAAGAUUAAAAACCCGCUGAUUUAGUAAGAUUCGAGCUAGAUUAUUUUCGUCUUUUUUAGCUUCCGUAUUAUUCAUGGCCAAUUCUUCCACCGUCCGUACUUUGACGAGGGAAAAUAAUCAAAGAUUCCAGAUGUCCGAUACGACCGGAUAAGUUCGGAAAUCUCGUAUCAACGAUUUGUUCGAGCCCAUGACCAUGUUAUAAGAACCCGGUUAAAGAUAAUCCAAACGCUCUUCGUUCAGUCCAGUAUAAGGUUAGGCUACGCAGUUAAGAAGGUCAGGUAAUAUAAUAGUCAAUAUGUAUAAUUGAACUUAUACAAGCUCAGGAAAAAGAAUUCGCAGAUUUGGGUUAAGCGACCUAGGUUUAGGAGUAUGGCCAAUUUGUUUAUAUGUUUUACUUAUGCAGGACUACCCGACCGUCACCUCCAAUGACCCUGAUCGAGAAUUUAUAAACCGUGCCGGGUCAGAUCAAAUAACACAGAUAUACCAGAGAUCCGUCUCUUUCCGGGUUGUGUACGGUGAAGACCCGACUUCUUCCCGGGUUGUGAAAAAAGCGACGUUCAUUACAUAGACGGGGUGUUAAAGUUGGCUUUGGAUAUAGGAUAUCCUCCCGAUUUGUACAGAAUAUCUACUAAAACUUUUUGUUUGUAUAAUAAAUCUAAUCGUUUCCAUAUAAAUCUACAGUUGCUCAUACUUCAAUUCUAUUUAACAAACGAGUCUGCCUUAAAGAGACAGACUAUAUUUAAUACAUUCUAAACAAUAUGAUUUAAAUAGAAAUUUUAAAUAUUAGUACGAUGUUUACUAUGGAGAAACCAGUAUUACAUUAUGUUUAUGAGAGUAGUAACGAGCCCUAUAAAAUAAAAGGCUCGUACCCUUAUUAUUAACAAAUUAAGUACAUCACGAAAACUAACUUGUUUGACGAACCGGGAAAAGAAAAAUCACUUCUACUGACGAUUUUCUUUGAGAUAGUCAAGUAUCAUCAUAAACAGUUGAAACUAAUGACACAUCACAUACUAACGACUCAAAAGAAUGUAAUCUAAAACUGUGUAAAUACCAACGACUGACAUAAACAUGUAAAUUAUAACGGUACAAUUCAACUUACUCCAUACAGGUAAGAUCAAUACGUUCAACAUCCAAAUGAAGAAAAGUUCUUGAGUCAGUUCCUACAACCCAAGAAACCUUCUCAGUAGUCUAUUAGUACAAGAAAACAUUAAGUUCAACAGAUGAAUUAAACUGGCGAUAAUUGUCCAAAAAUCUAAUUUUAUUCAUUAACGAGCGUUGAUGAGUAUAAAAGACAAUAAGUUUAAAGAAUAAAAGAAAAAAUAGAGAUCUUCAAAAAACACAACUAAAAGAAAGUUUUAACAACAUAAAAUUACAGCAUUAAACUAAAGAAUACCAUAGGAGGAAUAAAACAGAGUACUAUAUAUCUUGAUCCGACUUUAUGAUAAUUAUCGUGGUUACUAAACCACGAUAAUUCAAAAGGUGGUAACCUAAUUUUCUACACGCCAAUCCUACUACAUCCGGGGGGAUCCCAAAUCAUGCACCAACUAACUUAUCAUAUUAGAUUGCCCAUUUUUAUUAGUUUCCCUAAUUACAUUGCCGUCUUUUGAACUAUCGUUUCACAAACCGCGAUAGCUAUCGUAUUGUCGGGCUGAUAUAUAUAUAUAUAUAUAUAUUUUCUCUCUCUCAACUCGAUCUUAUGAUAGCUAUCGUUUGUUCGAGGCAACGGUGGGUAAACAAAAGCUACUACCUCGGAGGUUUAGUUGCUAGCCGUGGCAACUUGUACUAGAUAUGGUGAACUUCACAAAUCUUUAGUUUAAAGUAUGUAAAAGCUAUAAUAAGAAAAUAGGUAGCUCGCCUGUGUUUUUACUUGCCGACUUUUACUUAUAAGGAAUUUUUUACUACUAUCCUCGGAACAUUAGUUUUAGUUCUCAUAUCUAGAACAAAAUUUAUCAAAUUACUUAAAAGAUUAUUUUUAAGUUAACUAAACCUAUAGAAAUGCGGCAAUUUGCUCUUUUGCUGAGUAUAGCUGGUAAUUUUAAUAUUUAAAACUUUGGGAAACUAGUAAUCCGUUUACUACAGCUUUUCUAAACUUUAAAUUAAAGAUUUGUGAAUUUCACCAUAUAUAGUACAAGUUGCCACGGCUAGUAGCUAAACCUCCGGGGUAAUAGCUUUUGUUUACCCACCGUUGUCUCGGGCAAACGAUGGCUAUCAUAAGAUCGAGUUGAUAUAUAUAUAUAUAUAUAUCUCUCUCUCUCUCUCUCUCUCUCUCUCUCUCUCGUCCCGACGACACGAGAUCCCUCGUGCCUCCGGAGGCACGAGGACUCUGCAAAAGCUACUACCUUAAAAGCUUAGCUGCUAGCCGAGGCAAACUGAACUAGAUCGCGUAAACUUCAAAGAUCUUUUAUUAAAAACGCUAAAAAUCUAUAGUAAAUGGAUCACUAGCUUUCCUAAGUUUUAGGUAUUAAAAAUUACCAACUAUAGACGGCAAAAGUUCAAAUUGCCACAUCUUCAUAAGUUUAGUCUACUUUAAAACUAUCUUUUAAGAAAUAUGAUAGAAGUUGUUCUAGAUAUAAAGACUAGCUUUUAAAAUCACGAUAUAGUGGUGAAAAAUAUCCUAAAAAUAAAAGUCGGCAACUUUUAACAACUAAAACUUAAGAAAACUAACAAUCCAUUUAAUAUAGCUUUUUAAUAUUUUAAAAAAAAGAUCUUUGAAAUUUAUACGAUAUAGUUCAAAUUGCCACACCUAGCAACUAAACUUGUGAGAUACUAGCUUUUGCUCUGAGUACUCAUGACUCUGGAGGCACAAGUACUAUCGUAUCAAUCGGGACGAGAGAGAGAGAGAGAGAGAGAGAGAGAGAGAGAGAGAGAGAGAGAGAGAUAUAUAUAUAUAUAUAUAUAUAUAUAUCACGCCGAUCCUACGAAUACCUUCGUGAACAAGCCUGAAAACUUAGCUGCUAGCCGAGGCAAUCUGAACUAGAUCUCAUAAACUUUAUAGAUCUUUUAUUUAAAACGCUAAAAAGCUAUAGUAAACGGAUCAUUAGCUUCACCGAGUUUUAGUUGCCGAUUUUUAUCUUUAGAAUGUUUUAUAUUACUAUACUGUAAUUUUAAAAUCUAGUUUCAAUAACUAAAACAAAAUAUACCNAUGUAAUCCGUUGAUUGGUGAUGAUUUAGGAAUUAUAGUAGGAGUGGGGAUCUUUCACUAGGGGAGAACAUGGUGGUGGUUUGGUGGACCCUUUGCACUCCUUGUGUUUCAUUAAAUGCUGAGUCGCCAAACAACAAGGCUUUACCUAUAUUUGAGAAGAUGCCACUUUGCUAAUUAAUGCAAGAAGGAAAAGUGGGUUAGAGGCUUUAAUUGAUGAUAGAGACUACAUUGGACGUGCGUGGACCUAAUUUAUCACCUCUUCGAAUGCAUGUACAUUAUAUCUUCAACUGCUCUUCUUAAAUCCUUACACACCGUUUGGUUCGGAAUUAAAGGGAGGCCCCCUUUAACCCUAAACAAAAAUUUGGGGGGACUAUGCAUGCCGAAAUAGCCCAUUUGGUCCCUCCCCAGGAAUAGGGAUGGAAUUAAGUUAAUCUCACCUCUAUUUAAUUUUUAAAUAUAAAUAUAAAUUUUUAAUUAUUUAAAUUUUAAAUUUGACAUUUUAUAUUUGUAAUUUUAAAUUUAUAAAUUUGAGAUUUAAAAAUAAUUUUAAAUUUUAAAUUUUAAAUUAUUAUUUUUAAUUAUUUAACUUUUAAAUUUAAAUUCAAAUAUAAUAAUUAGGAUAAUAUCAUUAUUUUCUAUUUAUAACUACUCACUAUCCUUCUCAUUCCAUUUACUCUAACUAAAUAUUAUUUUAUUUAUAUAUAGACUAAACCUAAUUCUAAACCAAACACAAAAUUAUUUUAACCCCAUCUUAAUCCUGAACUUAACUCUAUCCCUGAAAUAACUAGUUUUUACUUAACCCCGAGCCAAAUGAAGCCUUAGUGUCUACAGCAGUUAAUUGAUAUUUGAAUUGCUGAUGUAAGAUCAGGAUCCCAAUUUUUUAUAUUACUGAUGAAUAAAUAGAAUAUUUUUUUUUUUAGAGAGAGAGAGAGAAAGGUAACAUAUUUUUCGUUUCGUUUAAUUUUUAAAAAAAAUAGAAUUAGCUGAAAAUAUAAAUCAAUUAGAAUUCAAAUUUGAGAACUGAUGUACCAACCACUAAGCUAUUUGCCGUCGCAUGAAUAAAUAGGAUACUAAUUGACAGAAGAGUAUGAUUCGAUGUAAACUUAAAUAUAGUGUUAUCGAAGUUGAUAUUGGCAUAGUAGGACUUAUAAUUAUUAUUAUUCGUACAGGAUGGUACGGCAAAAUUUACAGAUAUGAGUUUUUCAUAAUGUUAUGUUUUAGUUACCAUAUGAUUAUUAUAUCUGAAGAGAAAUUAAAUUAUACCGUACGUCUUUCUGUAAUCCAAAAAAAAAAAAGGAAGAUCAGGAAUAUUGAAAGGUGCAUAAACAAGGAGUACUGCUAAUUAAGAAUUUAACUUAGAGCAGUUACAUUAACUCGAUCGUAUAUAAUUAAUCCAAAAAAAAAAAAGAGGAGAGUAUCUAUAUAUAUAUAUAUAUAUAGAUAAAUGAUAAGAUUAAAUCAUUUCAUUCCCAUAACAAAACAUAUACAUAUAUAGAUAUAUAUGUAUAUAUGCAUAUGCGUAUUAUAUACUUUGUCGGUGGGUGCACCACUUCAGAAGUAAUUUCGCGUGGUGUUCAGAUCAAUCCGGGCCUUCUUCUUCGUCGUCGUCUUUAGCACGGGUGUGGGCACGGGCACGGGCACGUGCGAGUCACACCGGGGGCACCGCGGGUUCUCCUUCGAUAUGAGGACGUAAAGGAGACAAUUCGAGCACGCGGCGGCGAUCAGGCCGCCGCCGCCGCCGCCGGACCAAUCGCAGCCGUCCACUCUCUCCGCGGCCUCGGCCUCCGCCGCAGCAGCAGCAGCCCCCAGCCGCUUGAUCGGGGAGUACGUGAUCGACGACGUCGACGAGGGCGAGGGCGAGGGCGAGGGCGAGGCGGAGCGGUCGCAUGACCUCUCGUGAUGCUUGCCUUGAGAUUCGCGCUCGACCCUCUCGAGCGCGGAUUUGACCUUCUCGAUCGUGCACACGCUCGGGAUGCAGGAGGCGGAGGGAGACAGAAAGGGCGCCGUCGUUGUCGGCGGCAUGUUAAGAUCCUAAACAAAAUAUAUACACACACACAAAACAGUGCAAUUAAAUAUAUAUAUAUAUAUUUGAUGUUAAAUCAUAAAUCAUAAGAAUUCACUAUUUUUCCUUUGCUACUUUUGUAGUAUGAUUCACUAUCUCUGAAUUAAAUUCUUCAACCAAAUUAAAUUUUGUGAACAAAAUUUAGCUGUAAUCACAUCAUUUAUAUAUAUAUAUAUAUAUAUAUAUAUAUAUAUGGAGAGAGAGAGAGAGAGAGACCGGUUGCUAUACUAUUGGUAGCACGGAGGUCUCCGUACUAUUAAGUUGUUUUUAAUGAUACGAUUUCAAAGUCAACAAUCGGUUCCGUUAGAAUUGAUCUGCACUAUUAAAAAAUAUUUAAAAUCUAAAUUUUAUAAUUUUUUGACAUUAUUUAUCUAUUAGACGAGUAGUCUAAAAAUGAACGGCUGAAAAUAAAAGUUUUAUAAAGAAUGAUGGUAAAAAAUUUAAAUUUAAGAUUAGAGCUACUGAUAUUAUUCUAAAUGAUUGAUCGUAUAACAUCAAUCAUUAAAAUUGCCGAUUUUGAGACCUUUUGAUCACUAGCCAAAUAAUAUUGAACAAUUAUAAAAUUUAAUUUUCAAAUAAUUUUAAUAGUGUAAAUCAAUUCUAAGAAAACUGAUCGUUGAUUUGGAAUUCGCAUCAUUAAAAAUAAUUGAAUAACACAGGAGGUCUCCUUACAACCAAUAGUAUAGCAACCUAACUCUCUCUUUCUAUAUAUAUAUAGACUUGGUGAAUAUUUUAGUACUAUUUUGGAACCAAAUUAAGCUACUAUUUUACUACUAUUACAAAAAAUAAUUUGGCGAUUCAAACAAAAUAUUUUAAAUUUUUAUGCAAAACAUAAAACUGUGGGAGAAUAUUCUUCAUAAUUUUUUUUCUAAAAAAUUAAUUUUUUAUGAUUUUUUCUAGAACGAUAUAUAUGCCCUCCUUAUAUGAAAUUCGUAAAACUUAUUAAAAAAAAAAAAAAAAAACAAGUGCUUCUUAAAAUUGUUAUUUAUACUUUUUCUAAUUUAAGCAAAUCCUAAAAUAAAAAAAAUUUAAAACAAACCAAUAAGAGAAAGGAAAAAAAGAAAAAAAGAAAAAAAGAGAGAUCUCAAAAACAUAUGUACCAUUAAACCAUUUGUAUUUUCCACUUGCGAGGAGAUUGAUAACUCGAGAUUGAGAGCACACCCCCCGAGAAAGUCGCGCGUGAUAAGAUCCCUCCCUUUCUCUUCCUCUUCCUCCCUGUACAACAUUUGCGCCACGGAACUCACUUCCGUCGCCAUUAAUCCACUUCCGUAAACCCCCAGAAUCCCACUUACAGGGAAAUUGUUAGUAGUAGUAGUAGUAGUAGUAGAAGUAGAAGAGGAGAGAGAGAGAUAGAGUUGAGAUAUAAAUACAAAAGAGAACUUGGGAUGAGUUGGGUGGUGGAGAGCAUUUAGUUGAGUAAAAUGCAUGGGUGCCCCCUGUACUAUCCCAACGUUUCCAUUUGGUUCCUACACUUUUUUUUGUGAUCAUUUAAGUCCUUAAUAGAUCUACCACUUAUUUUUUUAAUUAAACGAUCAUUUUUAUUUUACCAUCAUAAUUUAUUUCUCUCUCUAAUGUAAGUGAUUAUUUUUUUUUAUUAAACCACCAUUUAACGUCGUAUUUGUCUCAACUUAUUUUCUGUCUAGCUCUUACUCGUACGUCGUGAAAUAGUUUUUGGAUAUUAAGAAUUGGUACAGAUAGAGUAUUUGUUAGAUUAAGCUGUGUGAAUAUUAAUUAAGUAGAUUUUUUAUAUUAUUUUUUGUAUGUGUUUUGAGUAACUACAAUCCGCAUGGUAUAAAGUUGGGUGUUUUAAUUUUCCACACUUGGCAAGCAUAGCCUAGCUUAAUUUAUACAUGUAUAUGUAAAUUAGCAAGAGAAUUAAAUACCAUUUUGUAAUACAUGUAAAAGUUAGAAACUAAAAAUAGUUUUAAAAAACAUAUAUAUAUAUAUAUAUAUAUGGACCAAAGAGCUAUAUGAAGGUAGCAGUGGAACCAUCAUACAUUUGACCCACAUCUAUUAAAAUGCAGUAAAGAUCCAAUAGAAUGCGACAAAGAGCAAUUAAUGGUGGGAUAUAAAUUGGGUGUUUCCAUUGAAGUGAAUUGGAAUUGGUUAGAGAGAGAAAGAGAAAGGGGGGAGGGGGGGAGAAAAAGGCCAAAGAGAACAUUUAAUGCUAAUGGAGAAGAAGAUGAUGAGGGGUUUGAGUCACAUAUUUAACCCUUCAGCUGUACAAGGCUUAUACUGUUUGCGCAUUAAUUGUUUAUCAAUUUAAAUAGUGAAUGGAAUGGUUAUUGGGUUGUUUCCUUGUGUAGAUUUUGUGGUCCCAUGCGUGCAAGUAUCAUCUUUGGGAUCUGUAAAAAUUGUAACUAUCAUAUGUAGUGUUUUUAUUCGUUUAUGGCGACAACGUAAGUGUGACAAUAUGAUAAUGAUACUAACAAAGAUUUUUUUUUAUUUUUUUGAAUCGUGUACGCAUGAAAUACAAUGAAUCUGAUCGAUCGAUCAAAUUUAAUCAAUAAAUUGUGACUAGGCGUGCUUUGUCUCCUAAUAAGUGAUAGAUAUAUAAUUGCUGUUUUAGUUAACAUCGCCAAUUUUAUCAAUACUGUUUUUAUUUUUCUUUUAUAUGUGAAUUUGUACUAAUAAAAUAUAUUUUGCUAGAAAUAUAACAAAUUUAAGCGGAUAUUUAUACAUUUCAAAUCAUACAACACCUCAUUAGCUAGGGAAAUAAUUUAAUAACUACUCACAUAAAUUAUACCGAUAGAUCAAUUGCACGUAUCUAUAUCGUAUGAUUUGUGUAAAUUUCUGUAUUAGGCAUAUUCUAACGGUCCUUGGUCUAUAAGAUAAUUAAUUGCGCAUGUAUAUAUAUUGUUCAUGGGUAUGAUUAAUUGUUAGCUACUUAUUAAUAACUUUCUAUUUUUAAGAAAAAUACUAGUAAGUAUUCAAUGUCUCAGCUCAAAUUUUGCUACCUAAGAAGCAAUAAAUAAAUAAAUAAAUAAUAAAUAAAGUUGAAAAGUUUGUGUAAUCUACCAUGUGGAUAAGAAACGUGCUUGCUAUGAACAUCAAAUUAAUAACAAUUAAUAAAGUUUGUUGAGUUCCAUGCGAAAAAAAUAAAUUCAUCAACAAACCAUUAAUUAAAAAGUGGACCCAUUAAAGCAAAGAGUAAUUGUAACGCAAUAAUUUCCCAACUCCAAAAAAUUAAAUAUAAAGUGGGCCAAUUUCAGCUCGCCGACUUUAGUAGACAUUAAUGCCGACUCUCUUUGUGGUGGUGAGACUACGCGGUUAAUUAAUUAAUAAGAACUCGACAAUUUUAAAUUUGACCACCAUUUAUGAGAUUUUGGACUUUAGUUUUUCUUGUGAGUGACGUCGCAUAUAAAAGAAAAAAUCUUACAAUUGAAACGUAUAUAUCAUGUACAACACGCAUUGUAAUUAGCUAGUUUAGGAUACAUAUUGCGUGUAAUUUUGUGCGAAAAUUUUUGAUGUACGGAAUUGAUCUGAUCACUCAUUAUCAAUGAGUAUGUAGUCCAAUGUUGACAAUGUGUAUGUAGCACGAUCACCUUCGUCCGCAGAAAAUUCCUGCACAGGCCCGAAAAAUUGGACUCCCGAGCCAAUUGGUAUAUAUAUGUACUUUACGAUCACUUUUUAAAUACUUUUUUGUUUAAUGUACUUUUUAGAAUGCGUUAAUAUGUAAUAUAGGUCUUUUGCAAUUCUUACAAGUAUACAUAUUGUAAAAUUUAGAAGAACUUGCUAGUUUAAUGAUAAAUAAAUUGUAAUAAUAGAUGUUCAAACGAGUAAAUGCUACAGCACACAAUUGACACAUAUAUUAAGACAUGCAUUGCAUUCAACAUUAAGAAGUAAGUUUGUAAUUACACUUGUGAUGUAACUGUAUAUGUUUCUAUAUUCAUAUUACGUGUCCAAUAUUUUUCGAUUCUGGCAUAGUUGGUUUUAAAUUGUAUUAUAAGCGAAUUUGCAAAAUCAAAAAAUCUUUAGCCUUCUUAGUUUUCUUAUGACUGAUUUUUGCUAAAUUUGUUUGAUUUCGAAAAUUGACUGAUACGUACGUACGAUGAAAUUAGUCAUUAUAUUAUAUUUGACUAAUGAAUUGCUAAUCAAACAUGUGGCUCGUUUAAAAUGUUUACACGAACAUAAUUUCCUCUCAUUCAACCUACAACCAAAUUAAGUGGAUAAUAAUAAAAUUGGUGCCAUAUGUAUAUUCAAAUUGUAGCAUAUUUAUAUAACCUGCAGGGUUGCAGAGAACUCAUUCCCAACAACCAUCCUUAAAUAUAACACUAUAACUUUUUAUUGCUAUAUCUCGCGGUCAUGCAUUUAUGACAUAAAAUUAUUGAGCAAAUUAAAGACAAGCACCUCAUUUACAACUUAUGGUUGGUGAAUGAUCAUAUUAUUGAUGAAUGUAGAGAGAGAGAAAGAGAGAGAGAGAGAGAGAGAGAGAAGUAUCAUGAAUUUGUUAUCUCGGCACAUACUAAUAGAGUAAUAUGUACUAUGUACGGAAUGAUAUGAGAAAAUGAUAUACUUUCCGAUUUUGACAAGCAAAAUACAUGUUUGCUUUUUGAGAAAAAGAUGAAAAAGAGGAUCGCGAGGCGAAAUUUUACAAACAAUAUUGUUAUACUCAUGCAUGAACUUUUUUAUAAUCACACGGACAUAUAGAUCUUUAACGAUUCCAGUCAUCUACUUUUGUACAAAUAUGUAAAUGGCGAUUUUUUGAGAAAUUCUUUGUUCCACCUUGUGGGGUUGCAGUUGUGCGUGAAUGUACAUACUAAUUAUUAAUGUUCAAGUUAGAUAUGAGAAUUGGUGCACCUUUUAUAAAGUAGGUACUACUACCUGAUAUAAAUGCUCUAAGUGAAGCUAUACAAUGUUAAUUGUUGCUUAAUGCUUAUUAUAUAUGUAUAUAUAUAUAUAUAUACUUCGCUUUGGGCGAAGGAAAUUCUGAAGUACAACAUCACAUGCGUCAUCCGCACGUCAAUACUUUGAACCAAUCAAAAUCUCGCUCUUACGAAAUCGAUUUAUAUUUUCAGAGUUAAUUUUGUUAUUCACAAAACAUACAUAAAUAAUAUAUGCAGUAUACCUCGUCACAUUUCAAACUGGCAUGGAUAGUUAUGCUCUUUUCUUUAAACAACAAAAAUUAAGUAGCUCUAUGAAUUCAUUUAUUUAUAUAUAUAAAUAUAUAUAUAUGUAUAUUUGUGGAUCAAAAUGUUAGUUAACAGAGAUCCCCGUAGCCAUUUAUCGAUCCCAGAACCCAAAUGAUAUAUAUAAAAAAGGUUUCAUUAUUAGCAAUUUACAUAUAAUAAUCAAGCGGUAGAAACACACAAACGCCACUAUCAUGAGGUGAAUGAUUUUGCAUUAAUAAUAAUAGGACCCAGCAAAUAACUCCAAACUCGUACCCAUAUAAUGAAUAGGUAGGCUACGAGCUCCAUUAAUUGAUCCAGAGAGAGAAACGUGAAGGGUCGGGGCCACAAUGAGACGAGUGGAGACAACGUAUGUCUUAAGCCGGAGUUGUUAGGAUGUUGAGACGACGUGGAGAGAGACUGACGCAAUUUGGGAAAUUAAUGCGCCUAGUGGGCGUUGAAAACGCACGGGUAACAGAAGAUACAAAGGAAACAAAUCAAAUUAUUAUUAGAGUCCACGUUUCACAGCGAACCAACGAGAGAGCCCGAUACAGUAAAUUGGGGCAUUUAUGAUAUGAUAGGGGUUUGUAGCGUUGUCUUAGUGGGUCAACCGUUGGAAAAAGAUGACCGGAAAAAAUAGAGAAAUAUUAAUAAAUACUAAUAGGUUUAAUCUUAUAAAUUUAAACUUUUAAAUUAGAUAUAUUUCAGUAGAUAAGAUUAGUAACGUUAGAUACGCCAAGAUCUUACAUCGGACCCGCUUUAUGGUGACAGCAUAACGGUUCCAAUAAUUAAUUAUAACAGGGGAAAAAGCAUGGGAGGACCAACAAUUGAUUACAACAUAUCCCCUGUAUUUUCUACAAGGCAAUAAUCAAAAUGGACAUUCUUAUAACAAAUUCGUGAUCAACUGUGCUCAAUGAUGAUCCUAGAAAAAACCCAUUUCCGGGAACUUUAACUCCGUUACCUGUACUUUCCAGUUUCAGAUACUUUAUCCGCGACCAAACACUCAAAAUGAUGCCCAAUCAAACAAAAAACAGAAACCACACAACAAUACAACCACACAACGGUACAAAUCACGUAAUUUUUAGUUCCAAAGGUGCAAUUCAAUAAGCUCUAUCUCAUCCAAGAGAGAGCAAUUUUUAAUAGCAAUUACAUCGAUAUAUGCAAGCAGCAUAACCAAGUAAUAGAUAGGGGUGGAAACGAGCCGAGCUCGAGCGAGCUUAUGUCAGCUCAAAUUCGGCUUGAAAUUAAUUUCAAGUCUAAAUCUAGGCUCAAGCUCGGCUUGAAAUUAAUUCGAGCCGAGCUCAAGCUCUAACGAGGCGAUGGUCGAUUGUUAAUUCUCGACUUCUGAUCAUCAUGUUUAAUUUUAUGAGACAUUACUGAAAUCUGACUGCAAACAUGUUCAAUGUUGCAAAUACAACAUAAUUAUAAUAAAUGUGAGUUAGAGGUGCUUCUUUGACUAUGAGAUGAGGGUCUGUGAGAGAGAUGAGACAGGAGGAGAGGGAGGAGAGAGAGAAGGAAAAAAUAGGAUUGCAAAUUGUUGUUAUCAUGUUUUGAGUUAUGUGCAUCGUGAAAGUUUAAAGAGAGUGUCCUUGUUAUGUAUUCUGAUUGGGCUCUAAUUGCACUUUGUAUUAUUGGUUUUUUAUUGGGCCAACUAAUAAGACCAUUAUUAAAUCCUAUAUAUAUUAAUAAUUAUAUAUUAUAGUUAAUGAGAGAGAGAGGAGAAGAGAGAGGAGGACAGAGAGUCCGGCGGCCUACUUAAACUUUUCUGAGGAUUGGCCCUUUUAGGAUGAAAUUGUCGUGAUUGUGGAGUCCGCCCCGAUCGCCCGAAUGGGUGGUAAGUGGGACAACAAAUAUAAAAAUAUAACCCGCCCCGAUCGCCCCGAUCCGCAGAGUAAAUGAGAGGGGAGCGUGGGAGAAUUUUUCUUCCUUCAUCCGCCUCGAUCCGUCCAAAUCGGUAUCGCCCGAUCCGCCCGAAUGGAUAUAAAGUGGGAGCCAAAAAUAAUAUGAAAGUAACCCGCCUCCGACUCCGCCCACGCGCCUGCCCUGUAGAAAUGGACGGAGGUGGGGACUCUCCGCCCCGAUCGCCCCGUUUGUCCCUAGCUCCUUUAUAUCAUAAGUUUACUUAAUUUAUUCCAUUAAUCUAUUUUGUCCAUUAGUCAUACUAUUUAACCAAUCCCCUACCUGGGAGCCCUAUAUUGUUAGGGGACACAUCUCCUACCACACUCCAUCAUCAGAGGUUAAAAUUUGGUCCAGGGUUUACUAUAAGGUUAGUAGUCCCAGCCUAUAUUAAUAUACUUAUUUAUUAUUCACUUUUCGGCUUUUCGACUAUUCGACGCGGACCGAGUAAUACUCAAGCUCAGUUUGACUAUGAAUUUCGAGCUUUUAUUUUGUUCAGUUUCGGCUCAUUUAAUUUGAGUGAGCGAGCGACACAUAUCGAGCGAACAGAUCGAAGCGAGCCCGGCUUCGCUUGUGCAGCUGUAUAGUAUUAGUUGCCGAUUGACGAAAGAUGUUGACACCACCAGAGUGAGAUGGCACGCUCCUUCGAAAAUUUUACAUUUAAUGCGCACGGUCUCUGAGAACAUCGAGGUCCAGCUCCGACGGAUCAGUCGCCUGAAUCUCGUAGUGAAUACCAUCUAGUUCUCGCCUGAAUCGGUCCUUGGAAGUAGCAUAAAGCAUCUUAGCUCGGAUGCGGGACACGGAAGGAGACCUGAUGAGGAAUAAAAGAAGCCUAAGCAUAAACGUGAGCAAGAUGUAUUGAAAGAAAAGUGUUGAAAGAACCUGUGGAUAAAUUGGCCGAGAUUAUGAAUUCCAAGGGACUUAAUAUUUAAAAAGACCAAGGUUAUCACCCUGAUGAAGGACAAUAUGGCAAUGCUUUUGGGAUCAAACGAUUUACUUUGAGAAGUGAAAUAGGAUAAUUCCACAGAGAAAACCCAGUCCGCACCAAAUCUUGCUUCAUUUCUCUGUUCAAAUUUUCCAAGAUUAAGGAUAGAAUGCUACCACAUCUCCAGUUGUAGUUAGGAGAGCCCCUUAUAAAGUCAAACCCCCUUCAAUUACCAUCUGGCCAGUUGUGUUUCAUAAUAAAGGAUUCCAAUGGAAUAAAUACUUUCACAAACAAACCCUCAAAAAAGAAAGGAAGAUGUAAAUAAUGAAUUUGACAGCUAUGGAUGAACAUCGAUAAAUAGAGAUAUACAAUCGGUCUGGCUAAAAUAAUCAAUAAAUAAUGCUGGAUCGAAUCAUGUGAUUAGGGGGAAAAAAAAAUCUGUUUCUUUUUCCUAAAAUUCUCUUAUAUGAGGUAUUUCACCACAACCAGAAUCAUUUGCAUUACUCUUCACAAAUUCAGAAACUUCAGCAGACAAAACAAUAGCAAGUCAGGCAACUGCAGAGUAUCCAGGAAAAACAUUCAAUAUAGAUUAUGCAGAUGGCAAAACAAAUGGCUUGAAAAAUGAAACUCACCAAGCAACAAAAAAAAUCUUGCUUUUCUGGCAGUUCUCCUCAGUAACAAAGUCGAAAUCAUAGAUUGCAUAUCGGCAAUCAUUUUCAGGGAGAGAAGCAAUGAAAUCAUCAUAGCUCUCAGUUGCGCCUCCAGUUUUCUCCACUACAACCGCUUUCUGCUUUUCAUCGAUCUUGAAGAUUACAUAGCGGUGAGUCUUCUUCCUCUGAAGCUCUAAGAAUGUCUCCUUACAAUCCCCAGCAACGCCCAUCCCAGAUGAUGCAUUUGACUGUAAGAACAAGUGCAUUGUUAGAAAUCUAAAGACUAGUGUAGAAUGACUAAACAGAUAAGUAAAUUAAAUAACAAGAAUCAGUUGUCUGUUGCAUAAUACAGCUAGAUUUUGACAAGAUUCCACAUAGACUCAAAAUCUACUAUAUAUGAGGCCAGAUUCGGUUGAUAGAACAUCACAUAUUCAUUGCUAGAAGAGGCCAAAAUAUGAGGCAAGAUUAUCUUCUUCAAUUAUCAAUAGAACAGUUUGACGGUUGCAGCUUGCGAAGUAUAGCAAAAGGAUCCAUUCACCUAAAAAUAAUGCACAGCUUUAAAGCAAAACUAUUUGUGAAUGAAUGACCAAAUCUAAGUUCCACCUGAGCCACCUCAAUUGAAAACAUGUAUAGUUCUUGACAUGUGUACAAUGAUUUAAUGGGAAAGGGCCAGUAUCCUUACAACUUGUGAAUAAUGUACAAAGAGAACCUACUUCCACUUCCUUAUAUUAGUAUGAUGAAUAAAUAUCUGAGUCAAGAGCAUCUAAUAAGUUCAAAAGAUAUGCACUGCCAACAAGAGAUCAACCAGCAAACCUACAAUACCAAAAGUUGUGAUAAACAGAUCCGUCCUCCUAAUCCAUGCUACAAUUUUGUAUAUGAAGAAAGACCCACACCUCGAUGCCAUCUAUCUUUAACUCCCAACAAAAAGCUUAGCCCAUUUUAGCAUUUCAGGAGAGAACUAGUCAGUGGAAAUUUAAAAGUUCCAGAUGUUUUUCACACGCAAUUGGCUUUUCCAGCCAAAGAGGCAUGUGAAACGAACUACAAAGAUAACCAACAUCAUCUUCUUCUGUCCGGCAUUCGUUGUCCUUCCCACUAGCAGUAAAGUUUGCAGCAUCUUUAUGACCCAGCCUUUCGACAGGUUCCUAAAUUUCCCCAACUCUUCCUUUUAGUUGUGCAAUGUCUCCAAAGAGAGCGCUAACAUUUAUAGCUAGGACCAGCAACAAAACAUAACUAAAUUCCUUGGUAUAUUAAAUUAUGAGCACACACCAAACUUCCACCUAAUCAGAUUAAGUCGACCUAACACUCUUGAAAGUGCGGCCACCGAGAACUCGAUAAUCACACUCAAAUCCCAUUGACUUGCGUAUACAACAUUAUCCAAAAACAUUCAUGAGAGUAUAUAAAUAAAAACAUCAUUGUACAGACCAUCAAAUAAACCAUGCAGAUUUGGUCCUUUUGGACCAUGCCAUUGUUCGUUUAGAAUUAAAAAACCAAAAAAAUAUUGACCACUUCAGUAUUAACUGAUAAUCUAUAAUCUAUCUUCUAAGCUAUUUGAAAGGGAUUAACAAGGCAUUAUAUAUUUCAUAAUAAACGCCUAAAGGAUAAGUUACAUUGAACAGUUAUAGGCCCAAAAAAUACCUACUCAAACCAGAUCGAAACAAACUCGAUCACUCGAACCCUAAUCCACCGAACAACAACACCAUGAGACUACAAAUUCCCACAAUAUAGCGACGUCGAUCAUAACAGUUUCUGCUGAUCUCAGGUUAACAUUAACCAAUCCACAUAAUCCACAGAGCAAGCCAUUUCUCGAUCAACAUCACGCUAACAAAUUUCCUACUCCAAGCACAAAGAUCCCAAAAUUGACGUCGCUAACCAAAAAUCAAAAGUAAAAAAGUGAGAAAAAUGGAGAAAAAGCUUACACAAGAUCGGAGAAAAGCCAUGUGAUCUACGAGAUCGGGGGUGGAAACGAAGCCCUAGAGGUGAAAAGAGCGAGAGGGUUUCUAAGGACGACGAGUGGAGGAGAGCGCGAGCUCACAGCGAAUCCUUUAUGCUUAGGCGAAGGAAAAGAGAGGAGGAGAAAAAAGCGAAGAGGACGAAGAUGGGGCACACCGUAGUGUACGAUGCUUCGAAGCUACGCGAGAAAAGAAAGAAAAAAAAAAAAAAAAAAAAAAAAAAAAAAAAAAAAAAGGUGAAAUUUGAAUGAAAAUUUUUUAAUUAGUAGGUUGAUCGAAUGACUCAUCAAAUUAUCUUAAUAAAAUCUAGUUAAGAAACUCAUCAACGAAGUUCAUCAAAGGACACAAAUUCAAAAAAAAAUAUAUUAUUAGUAAAAAAUUGAGACAAAAAAUACUUAAAAAGUUUGCUACUGUAUGAGCGUCUGAUCCUGAUGAAACCAAAGGUUAGCUGUUAAUGGGCCUCGACUGGGCCGGAGCAUAUUGGGCCCAAUGCUGCAGUUGUCAUUGAUCAAGAAGGAAAUCCAAAAGGAACUCGAGUUUUUGGUGCGAUCGCUCGAGAAUUGAGCCGGCCCAGUAAUAAAAUGGGCCUACCAAUAUGGAAGUUCAAUUUUUUUUUAAAAAACCCACAGAAUAUUUCUAUGAAUAAAAAGCCCAAAUGCCUCUACUUUCUCUUUUUUCUUUUCCAAUUCUUUACGGUUUCUGGAAAUUCUCCCCACAAUCAAUCCAAACUGCUGAAUUCGAAAAAAAUAAUAAAAAAUAAUAAUAAAAAUAAUGAAAAAAAGGCAAUGGCGACUUUCACGCCAUCUUGAAAAAAAAAAUAUAGAAAUGAUUUUACAGACAUUUGGAUAAUUUGACUUUUAUACAUCCGAUUGAAAAUUACUGAUUACAUAAUCUCUUUUUUACACUCUUUGAGGAUGAUGAGUCGCUGAUCUCACGAAGGUUCAUUUUUUCUUCCCCUAAAAGUAAACUUUAUGGCUUGCAAUUUGAUUAAAAUUGCGACGAACUAGCAUAUAUUCUUAAUAAGUUCAAUAUUUGAUAAAUACUGCAAAUUUUGAUAAUAUAAUUCAGCUUUUAAUCAUGUUUGAUUAAAUUGUUCGCGACCCUUUUCAAGGCAAAAGUUUUUUUUUUUUUUUUGAUGAAAAAGUUAUACAAAUAUUUUCUUCAUUAUUUAGAGGCAAAAAGGAAUGGUCAAAAGAGAAAGAGAGUAAAGCUAUGUGCAACAACAUUGAAUGAAUUGUGAAUCCCUUGAGAGUGAUUUAUAACUACACACAAUCGUGCAAUUAAAUGUCUAAAAAAAGAUAAGAAAACAGAUUGGGUGUGUUGUUUUGGACGCGUCCGUUGGCGUCUCUAACUAGGAGUUAUUAUCUUCAAUUAAUAUGAAAAAGACUUAGAAAUAAUAAAAAAAAAAACCUACAUUUAAAAUGUAUGCACUGAGGAACUUUUUGUGUGAGUGGUAGUUGAGUUUGGCCAACAAUACAGGAACGGAGUCAUUGUGAGGCUCACAGUAGUCAUACCUCCCUCCUCAACUUUUAAAAGUUAUGUAUAAAAUUUUAUAAUAAAAAUUAAAAUUUUAUAAAUUUUAGUUCGGAGGGGUUUUCUUUUAAUAAAACUUAUGUCUCAAAUUUUUUUCUAAACUUCUAAUUCUUUUUCUUUAACUCUUAUAAUUUUGCGUCUCCUUUAGCAUAUUGUCGCUACCGUGGCCUUAGCAAUAGAUGACCAGUAAAUCUAACAAACUUUCUUUCUUACUAUCCAAAGUCGGAUUUUUUUCUACAAAAUCUAAAUCUUGGCCCCUCUGAAUCUUAAUUCCUGCAACAAUGGCUUUUAAGUCAUAUCCAUGCAAUUGAAUUUACACUUAACACGCUUAACCCACUUUUGAGUCAUUUUCGAAAGUACAAGUUAUUAUAUGCCUUAAAAGCUUCUAUAAAGCACGACAGUCGAAAAUGAUGCGUCUGAAUUUGCAAUUUGAUUGUGAUAAAUAAGUAUUUUCUUUUCAUAUAAGUAAUCGAAUUUAUCAAGUUGAGAACUUGAAUUCAACUUACUCGUUGGUCAAUAUUCGUGAUCAGCUCCAUGUGUCGUAUGCUUAGCAAACAACAGAUCUGGGCUCGAAUUAAACUAUUAAUUAGACUAUUAGACAGCUCACAAGUUGCAAAUAAACAAAACUUGCUUUCACACCAAAGCAUGUGACCACAAAAAACUAGUACAAUAUGUGUCCCCAUUCUGCUUCUCUUUUCAGUGGGAACUUCUGUUAACAUCGUGAAAUAUUAUUGUCAUAUAUUUGCUAGAUACACCGACAUCCAUUGUAUGCAAUUUUUUUAAUUAAUUCAUGCACAAAGCUUAAAAUAUUGCAUUAUUUUGUCUAUGUAUAAUAUAAUCCUUCAAGACGAAUAGUUUGAUUAAAUUUAUUUAUCUUGCAUAAAAAUGAAAAAGUUAAUUCAUUCAAAGUAACUGAACUAUUUCACUAUCUCAUAUAACUCAAAAAAUUAUAUGUAUAAUAUUUCUUUUGGAACUUAGAACUGUUUUUUUGGUUCACUUCUAUUUGGUGGGACAGCUUAUAACCAGGAAACUUAGAACUGUUUUUUCGGUUCACUUCUAUUUGGUGGGUCAGCAAUAAUUCGACCCUAUUUUUAGCAGUCCGUCGGCUCAAGAUACUGUUAUCUUCGUACAAAGAUCUGCUUUGAGCGUUUUUUUUUUCUUUUUUUUUUUUUUUUUUACCUCUGCUGAUAUUGUUUUUUCUCGAGGUCUUCGUUGCCUCACCUUUGUAGUCAAAUUUAUCCAUUCAAUAAAUAAAACAGGUAGCAUACUACCGAUUCUCAAGAAAAAAAAAAAAAAAAAAAGCUUACAACCAGGAAAAUGAAAAAGCCUUGUCCCCCGCAUUAUUUCCCAAACAUGUCUCUGUACGGUACAACGAGCACAACACGUGCUACGAUUCGAUCCCAUUUCCCCGUAGUCCGAGCCCGAACCCAACCCCAGUCAACCAGUCAAACCUGGUUCAAUCGCAUCACCCCGAGGCUCACCGGAUCACGCGAGAUCAGAGCCGUCCAUUCGAUCAAUCUCACAAUAAAUUUCGACAAGCGGCGGAGCACGGAAAAGAUCUCCAACACCUUUCUAUUCACGCUUCAGAUCAUGCCCCAUUUAUUGUCCCUUUUUUAUUCCGUUGAUUAAUAUGAAAUUUUCCGUUGAUUAAUAUGAAAUUUUAAAUAUACUGAUUUUGGAUAUACAUUUUAUGAACAAAACGUAAAUAACAAACAUUAUUUUUUUACUAUUAAUAGUAUUUUACUUUUUAUAUAUAUUAUUUUAUAAACUGAAUUUUUUACUCUGCACUACAUACAUGUAAGAAUAUUUGGUAAAGAAGUAUAUAAGUAAUUAUUGGCUAUUCUUGUACAAGUGUUGAUAUUAUUCGGAUACAUAUUUAGGUAAAAAGACGUAAGCGUCAUCACUUAUAUUCAAAAGUUUUAAGUGUUAAUUAGAAUGCUAAAUUAUGCUUUUUGUCAUCAAAUUUUCGAAUGAAAGAUAUUUCGCCUUCAAUUUGUAAUUUUUUAUAAUUUUUAGCUAGAAUUUUUAUUUUAUUACUAUAAUUAAGUUCAGCUGUUCAACUUAUUUGCUUAAAGAGAUAUUGACGAAUAUUUUAAAUUAAUUUUAACAAAAAUUUACAAUAUAGAAGCGUCAAUAAAGCCAUACAGGUACCAUAGCUAGUAUAGUAAGUUAGUAAUCUUAUUCCACAUUAGUAAUAAAUUAUAUAAUUUAUUGCUAAUGAGUUUAUAUGAUUUGAUCAGAAUAAUCUAAAAAAAUUAAGCUAAAAAAUUAUAGUAAAUUAAAAUUUAAGUAAAAAAACGUCUGAACAAUUAUAGAAAAACUGUAAUGUAGCCGAAUUGGAAAUUUGGAAGGUAUACAUGAAAAUACUGGGGCCCACAUGAAGUACACGGAAGUAAUGAAACCUCCCACGUUGAACACAAACGAAGAACACGAAGCCCCCUCUCCCCUUCCCCACUCUCUUUAACUUGUCCCCGAUCAGAGCCCGAGUCGCCGCGUUUGCUCGUCGUCGUCCAUGAUCUCCGGCCCGGUCCGAUGCCGAGCCCGCCGUGGAAGAAGACCCGGCCCGGCCCUGGACCCGGUCUAUCCCGGUUCGUCUCCGGCCUCCGGUCCGACCGGGCCGGCUCGCUCGUCGUCCAAACCGGGUUCCCCACCUCCCUCGCCGACCUCGUCGUCAAGAACCACUCCCGCCUCAAGAAACCCUCGCGCUCCAAGAAGAAGGCCCCUAGGGUUUUGGACGCCGACCCCGCCCCCGCCCCCGCCCCCACCGUCGGAUCCUCGUCGGACGCUGCGGACCCUCGCUCUACAUCACCACCUUCCUCCGAGGAGGCCUCCGACGCGAUCUUACGGGAAGCGGAAGCAAACCCUAGAAUCCCCCAAUCCGAUCGAGGUACGCUGCGAAUCGAGCUUGUUGUGCUCGCGACGCUCGUGGUUUUGAUCCUUUUGGCGAUUGGUAGGAAGAAGCUCGUGGUGGGGAUCACGCUCUCGGCCUUCGCCCUGUGCUUGUUCGAUGCAGCAAAGCUCCGCAUCGUUCGGUUCCUGAGGCCGUGUCCCCAGGCGCGCCGGAGCUUGAAUUCGAUGAUCGGAGGGCUCAGUUUGGAGGGGAGAGGAUGGGUUUCGCCGAUCAGGGAAGCCGCGAUUGACGCCCGAUCGGAUUCGAUGGGUUCGUCAGAGAGCGGUUUGGAUUCGAUGGGAUCGGAGAAAAGCUCGGUAGAUUCUGUGCCUCCAGAUGAGAAAACAGAGCUUUCGAUGGAAAGGAUGGAUAUUGUUGGGGUUGAUUCGAGUACUUCGAAGGCGAAGAAGCUUCUGAAGAAGUUUGUGUCGAAGAAGUUUCGUAAGUAUAGGAAAAGUAAGAAUGAAAAGGAGACACCUUUGGAUCCAAGUGGGAGUAGUGAAUUGGAUUCCAUUAGGAAAAGUAAUCAGGAGAAAGAGGCAAUCAUGGAAAAGGAAGAAGUCGUGGGAAAUGGCGACGACGGUUCGCUAUGCUUUGACUCCUCAGGUGAUCUCACUCGGUUAGACGCAGAGGAAAAGAAAGUGGAAUCGGAUAUAGAAGAUCCACACGAAUCUGGAACCGAAGCCAGAGUAUCUCAGCUCCUAGUUUUCUUCAUUUUAGUUCUUUUAGGCCUUGUCGGAGGGAAGGUUGCCGCACUUGUUCUUACCAUGUUUAGUAUCUUGUCUAUAAGAUCAAUUGAAGCAUUGUGGAAUAAAUGGAAUUUAUGGCGGACUGAUUCAGUUUUUCAAUGUACCGCAGAUUAGAGCGAGUUUUUCGGCUCUUGUUAAGUGAUUGAGGCCUUUUUCCCUUGGCUCAUCAAUUCUCAUGUCUCGUUAAUUCGGGCGGUGAUUCGAACCUUGAAUAUGUAACAGGUAGUGUAAAGGAAGGUGAAAGAAAACUUACACAUGUUUUCUUGUUCUUUUGUUUGUAUCUUCUUUCCAAUUGUAGUUAAAAUUGCCAUAUUAUAAUCCGCUUAAUCUGUUUGUUAGUAUAUCCUGUUGAUUAGUUCUAUCCAUAGACCAGUUGUGCUGGAGUUAUAACCUUAUAAGCUUCCCAGUGUAGGCUAGAAAAUAUUCUCAUUUUCCCCUUUAUUUGUGGUUAAGUUCAUGUUUUAUAUUUCAUCUAUUAUGGAUGUCUCCUAUUUAGAACUUACACCCUUUUCAGUGGAAAUUCCUAUCUGUGAUUGAAUUUCCAAUUUUUGAAUGAAUAAACCUUCAUUUCUUAAGAAGAUCUACUAUCUAAAUUUGAGUCUGACCACCCAUCACUUUUGAGUACUUACUUUUUUCGAUAGUCCUUUUUAAUUCCAACUAUAGACCUAUUUGUCACUGUCCCUGUGUGUUUUUCGCUGGAUUUUCCCACACUGAUAACAUCAAAAUUUCUAGUUUGUUCAGAAAUUUUAACAGAAAGUAUGUAUUUUGCUUAUUUGCAGGCGACCCCAUAAGAUGGAGGUAAAUCUUAAUGUAAUUCCAAUACAUUCUCAGUUUUUGAUUUAGACUCUUGAUUAAGCCAUCUUAAUGUAAAGUGAUUUGUUUGUUAAUCUUUAUCCUAUGACAUCUUAAUCUUUGAACUGCACAAAUUUAAACAAUCUACACCACCGCUUAAAGCCCUAUAUAUAUAUAUAUAUAUAUAUAGAGAGAGAGAGAGAGAGAGAGAGAGAGUUGAGCUGGAAUGCUAUCAGUAGCAAAUGGACUCCGUUGCCACCCAUUUGUUUUCGAUGAUGGAGCCCUCAAAUCGACGAUCGGCACCGUUGAACAUGAUCUAUAUCACUUGAAGUAUCUAGAAAUUAAAUUUCAAAUAUUUUCAAUAUCAUUGACCUAAUGAUCAAAGGGUUUCAAAAUUUGUAAUUUUAAUGAUCGAUGUAAGGUGUUUUCUCGUUUAACGGUGUAAAGCUAUCCAAAUCAAUUGAAUUUUGGUUAGAAAAUUCUUUAAACUAUUUAGAACAAGAUCUACACUCUCGAUCUUGAUUACAAAAUUCCUAUCAUCACUUUUUAGAGGAUAUUUAUUUUCAGCCGUUCAUUUUUACGCCUACUUGAUGAACGAGAGAACAAUAUUGGAAAAAUAUGAAAUUUGAUUUCUAGAUACUUCAAGUGAUAUAGAUCAUUUUCAACGAUACUGAUCGUCGAUUUAGAGGCUCCAUCAUCGAAAACAAAUGAGUGGCAACGGAGCUCGUUUGCUACCGAUAGUAUUCCAGCUCAACUAUAUAUAUAUAUAUAUAAUUGUGCUGGUAUGCUUAUGGAAGCACGGAGGCCUCCGUGCUUCCAAGUCGUUUUCGAUGUUCGGACUUUCGAAUCGACGAUCGGCUCCGUUAGAGUUGAUCUAGAGUAUUUGAAGUACCUAGAAAAUAAAUUUUGCGAUUUUUCGAUAUCAUUUGCCUAGUGAUCGAAGGGGCUCAAAAUCAAUAAUUUUAACGACCGUGGUGAGCCGGUUGCAAGUUUAACGGUGUAGAAAUAUCCAAAUCACAUGAAAUUUUGAUAGAAAAUUUUUUAUACCAUAUAAAACAAGAUCAAUAACUUUGAUCUAAAAUUUUAAUGUCAUAUCAUCAUAUUUUGUAAGAUUUUUAUUUUCAGCCGUUGAUUUUGAGCCACUUCGAUCACUAGGCAAAUGAUAUCGAAAAAUCGCAAAAUUUAUUUUCUAGAUACUUCAAAUACUCUAGAUCAAGUCUAACGGAGCCGAUCGUCGAUUCGAAAGUCCGAACAUCGAAAACAAAGUGGAAGCACGGAGCCCUCCGUGCUUCCAUAAGCAUCCUAGCCGCACUCUAUAUAUAUAUAUAUAUAUAUAUAUAUAUAUAUAUAUUGAAAAUCCAAAUUUGCCCUGUUAGCAAUUAAUGUAGUUCUAAAUCUUCUGAUAACUAAUAGAUGUAUCUGUUGCUUGGUUCUAUGGCUCAUGAGUGAAUGAUACCCUGGAAGGUUCUGUGGAAGUGUUUUAUUACCUAAAAGGAGGAAGGUGGUGGAUAGAACUUCUUGUGUGGUUGUGACUAACAUGCUCUUUUUGAGUAACUGAGUUGAUUCUUUUGUUGGUUGUUAAGAAGAUAUUUAAUGAUUUGGUUGAUGCUCAUUGUGAUAAUUUACUGGAUUGUGAAGAAAAUGGAGAGGAACUUUCCUUGUAUUUUAUGAGAAGCUAUCUAUACAUUUCUUUCUCAUCCAUUUUUUUGUGCAGUAUAUAAAUUCCAUAAAUUUGCCCUGUGGUUUACCAAUUGUGAUUAAAAGAAUGAACUAUUUUUUGUGCAACUCAUACUCUUACCUUGAUCUUUCCUGUAGUCUAUCAGAAAAUAGCAGCAAGAUAUUGAUGCAUCAUCUUAGAUGUAACCAAGUAGUUAGUUUGUAUGUACAUGAAACUAUAAAACAAAAAAAAAAGGUACUUGGCCACUAUACUCUAGGUCAAGAUUCCUAGCCCACUUUUAGAUUUUUUUUUUCUUUAUUAUUAUUAUCAUCAUCAUUAUUAUUUUGCUCCACUAACUACCUUUGAUGCCCACAUAGUUCAAAGAUAUUUAUGAAUUAGUCUAAUCCUAGAUAAUAAUUUUGAAUGUUACAUUGAGUAAUAUUUUAUUCGCCACCCUGAUUUUUUGCCAUUUGCGACAUUAACGCUGUAAAAGCAUGUAUUUUAUCCGGAGAAAUAUAAAAUUUACACUUCACUGUCAAGUAUAUACUUAAUAUUUCUCAUGUUCUUCCGAUAGUUAGUGGUAGGAUUGAUAUGUCCAAAUCAAAAUUGGUACAUGGACUAAAUAAGUGGAGUAUUGGAUCACCCGCGCGCAUACUGCUUAAAUGUAUCUAAUGACUUACACCCUGUCUCACUUUAUCCACACGUCACUUGGAUUAUUCAUCUCAUCUUAUUAUUCAAUUUUUGCUACGGUUAUACUUACGCUGAACAAAUGAAUGAAUCCUUGUGCAAAGAUUUGGGGCGUGCGAGGUGCGAAUCGAUGUGGACUGGGCCUAUUUCAGCCUAACAUCACACUCCAGGCCCAUUUACGGCCCAGUCUCAAUAACUCAUCUUAGCCUCGAUAUGGGCCUGUAAAACCGAUGAUGGGUGGUCCCCUUCUCCACUCCCCAUUAUAUACAGCAUCAUACGUUUGUGCAUUCAAAAUUAGAAUCUGGUUUAUUAGAUAUAAAAAUUAAAUAUUAAAUAAUUAUAUUUUUAUGAAUUGAUCAAUAAUUCUUUCUGAACUAUUAAGGUACUUUCGGAUUAACUAGUUGCAAAUCAUAUCUAUUUGAUUUAUUCUUUUCUUUUUUUUUUUAGAGAGAAAGGUAACAUGCUACCCGCUUCGUUUAUUUCAUUUAGAAAUAAACUUAGCUAGAAAUGUGAAUCAACUAGAAUUCGAACUUGGGUCUCGGAUAUCAACCACCAAACCCUUUUACCACUUGUGCUAGGGACGGUCGGUUUAAUUUAUCUUAUUUUAAUGUCUAUUACAGAUAUUUAGAUAUAAGAGAACACAUCUAGGGUAUGUUUGGUUCACCUAUUUUAAACUAUGGAAUCGGAAUGAAAUUCAUCAAUUCCGAUAGUUGCCGUUUGUUUUAUAAGAAUCGGAUUCUGAUUCCGGAUUCCGAUUCCCAUUUCACUCCGGAGUGGGAAUGGCCAAAUCCAUUUAUGAUCCAAUCCGGCUUUGAAUUCCGGAUUGGAUCAUUCCAAAGUAAACUAUUCAAAAUCCUCUUUCACCAACACCUACCUACUCUCUCUUCAUCACUUUCUCUUUCUUAAUCAAAACUCUUUUUAAAAAAUUUUAAAUUUUCAUUCUAAUUUCCAUUCCAAUAAUGAAUCAAACAUUUUGAAUGAUUCGCCAUUUCAUUUUUCAUUCCAAAGCAAUUCAAUUAUAUUUUUCAUUCCUAUUCCAAUCAU
Molecule: long non-coding RNA, 73749 nt
Filed under: Ananas comosus (pineapple)
Lineage: Eukaryota; Viridiplantae; Streptophyta; Magnoliopsida; Poales; Bromeliaceae
Description: long non-coding RNA (ACOM_LNC011391)
Source: RNAcentral